This 48579-nucleotide long non-coding RNA is filed under the name Triticum aestivum (bread wheat). RNAcentral describes it as "long non-coding RNA (TAES_LNC014863)". Lineage: Eukaryota; Viridiplantae; Streptophyta; Magnoliopsida; Poales; Poaceae. The record is from RNAcentral.
AGGAGGGCUCUUCAUCUGGUGUGCUCUUACCGGCUUCAGGAUGGUCUUGUUCUACAUAUUAUCAAUUUCAUGUAACGCUUUUGAGUUUGGAGCGAUUUAGAUGAACAAGAGACCAAAUUUUCUAUGUUUACUUGGAGAAUCCCAUAAACCAUUUUUGGUUUUGCAAUUCUGUCUGGUUCUGUUUAGCGUCUAUCUACAAUUCAUCAGUUAAAAUUAGACAUUGUGAUAUUCGUGUUGUCUGAUCUGAGUGAGUGUAAUCGCUGCUUUCAGUGCACUCAAGCUUGGACAGUUUGACUAUAUGGUUAUCCUGAAAUCUAAAAAGUGGCCGCACACUUUUUGGUCGAACCGAGCGGCCGGCUCUCACAGCGCAUGCACGUGGUAAUUUAUUUGUCUGCAAGUGCAUGUAGGCGUGGCAUUAAAUACGUUCAUACUGCUCCUUUAGUUUAAGAAAGACAGAUCCAUUUGCAUUUAUUUCGGGUUUUUAAAAAUUCAAAAAGCUAUAUCUUUCAAACCGCGUGUCGGAAUUCAAAUCUGUUUUCACCAUUGAAAUCCUCGCGACGAGAUCUUUGAAACUAGAUCCCGCAUGGGUAUAUUUUAACAAAUUUUUUUCGAUGCCAACUUUGGAGCUAUAUAGUGCAACUCUAUUACUGCAUUGUGCAACUUUAUUACUACAUCGUGCAACUUUUUUUCAAAACUAAUGUUUGGAGCUGCGCCUUCAUAUGAGGUUAUAACCUAGCAACCACGACAACUUUGAUGUGCGACUAGUCUAUUGCCUCGACGAAAGUCGAUGUGCAACCUCCUCUUGUAAUGUAGUCUAGUCGCACACACAUUGAUGUUUAGUUGGCUUGUAAUGUAGUUUAGUUGCACAUACAUUGAUAUUUAGUUGGCUUGUAAUGUAGUCUAGUUGCACACACAUUGAUGUUUAGUUGGCAGAAAGACUAAUUGCACACGCAUAUGCUUAGUUGACUUGUAAUUUAGUCUAGUUGCACACACACUGAUGUUUAGUUGGCAGGACACUAGUUGCACACACAUAUGCUCAGUUGGCGUGACAAUCUAGUCUAGUUGCACACACAUUGAUGUUUAGUUGGCAGAACUUUUUUGGCACACACACAUAUGCUCAGUUGGCGCGGCAAUCUAGUCUAGUUGCACACAUAUUGAUGUUUAGUUGGCAGGAAGACUAGUUCGUCGAAACACCCCCAUGCGGGAUAUAGUUUUGAAGAGCACGUUGCGAUGAAAACGGAUCUUAAUUCCGACGCGCGGUUUGGAAGAUAUAGCUUUUUGAAAAUUUGAAAACCGAAACAAAUGCAUAUGUGAUCUGUUUUUUCCAACUGAUUGUGACCGAUGUAAAUGUAUUAAAUGCUAAAAGAUACAUGCGCUAGCGGACAAAAAUUACACACAUGCAUGUCUAUGCAGAGCAGACGCUAGCGGAUAAAAGAAUUUCUAUUUUAGGCCGGCCGCUCGCGCAUGCCAGCGAGCAGCCGACCGCUACGUAGACUCGUCCUAUGGUUAUUGCACAAUCCUCAUCUUUUAUAUCCUUAUCUACGACCACUAUAAAAGAAAGAGAGGGGCAGAUCCAAACAAUCAUAUUCAUCCAUCAUCAAAAUCUAAUGGCCCUUAAUCAUUAUGUGUUUAACGCUACCAACCACGCAAUAAGCCACAGUCGAUCGAUAGUAAUCUGCCCUGCAGUAAAAAAAAUAAAGAAAAUCGCCCGCCCGCACGACCUCCUCCUUCUCCCGCACGACCUCCUUAUCCUCCCGCAGCCGCGCCCUUCACCGCCUCCUCGCGCCGCCGGAGCCACGGGAAGCGGCCGCGGGUCGCCGGGAGCCUCCCCAGCCGCGGGAGCCCGCCCCCGCCGACCCCGCCUCCGCCNNNNNNNNNNNNNNNNNNNNNNNNNNNNNNNNNNNNNNNNNNNNNNNNNNNNNNNNNNNNNNNNNNNNNNNNNNNNNNNNNNNNNNNNNNNNNNNNNNNNNNNNNNNNNNNNNNNNNNNNNNNNNNNNNNNNNNNNNNNNNNNNNNNNNNNNNNNNNNNNNNNNNNNNNNNNNNNNNNNNNNNNNNNNNNNNNNNNNNNNNNNNNNNNNNNNNNNNNNNNNNNNNNNNNNNNNNNNNNNNNNNNNNNNNNNNNNNNNNNNNNNNNNNNNNNNNNNNNNNNNNNNNNNNNNNNNNNNNNNNNNNNNNNNNNNNNNNNNNNNNNNNNNNNNNNNNNNNNNNNNNNNNNNNNNNNNNNNNNNNNNNNNNNNNNNNNNNNNNNNNNNNNNNNNNNNNNNNNNNNNNNNNNNNNNNNNNNNNNNNNNNNNNNNNNNNNNNNNNNNNNNNNNNNNNNNNNNNNNNNNNNNNNNNNNNNNNNNNNNNNNNNNNNNNNNNNNNNNNNNNNNNNNNNNNNNNNNNNNNNNNNNNNNNNAGCCGCCCCGCCGCGCCCUUCGCCGCCCCUCAUCCUCGGCGGCGAGAGGCACGCAGGAGCCGCCGCCAGGGACGUGGACGUGUGCAGGCCAACCACCGGCGUACGAGGCCGCGCCUGAGCCUGCGGCGCGGCGGCGCGGAGCCCUCCGCCGCCAGUUCCCUGCCGGUUCGAGAUCGCCACCGGUCCCCUCCGUGCCGUCAUCGUCCUUCCUGCUACCAGCUCCGUCCUCCGCCCUAUCUUCGCGGCAAUGUUCUGCUCCAUCCAUCGGUAAGUAGCGACCAUGUCGUCUCUCUCCGUUUCAAUUCCUAUAGUAUUUUUCCCAUGAUGUUUCUUAUCGAUGCUGAAACUCAGGCGACUAUGACCACUGUGUUUCUUUUUCCUGAAUGACCAUGAUUUUCAUUAGUUGUAACUGGUAAAGUAAGGCGUGGCUGUUUGCUUCGGCCAAAUCCAGCUCCAUUAUCAAAUGAAAUGUUAGGAGAAAGUAAGUCGGUAGCACUUCUCUUUUUCGAGAAGAGCUGGCAUGAUGGACAGGAGCGCUCUUUUGGUUUUGCUUAGCUGUUGGAUAAAAUGAUCACCCAGUCAGUUAUGGACUCAUGGCCAGGUUAAAUGUAUUCAGCUGUAUAAUACUCAUAUGGUCAGACUGCUUUCUUCUGUCUUAUAUUCUAAGUUUUCUGAAGACAUCCAACGGCCUUUGUACUGAUUUAUGUAGUUGUUGUUGCUCAUGCUGUUGUACAUACUACGUAAUGUUAUAAUGGUGUUAAAUUCUGAAAUUCAAGCCUCCCAUUGUAUGUGGCUGAAGUGCUAAAUUAUCUCUUUUUCUUCUUACUAUUCCAGGCGCAAACAACCUAUAGAGUCAAGGAGUAGAAUACCAAAAUACGAGCUGCAAAAGUGACUCAAAUUUCUCUUCCCUCACAAGUAACUACACUGGUAAUUGUCCAUGUGUGGAUCUGGUUGACAUGACCAUAUUUUUUGAUGUUUGCCAUUCAAUUUUAACUACAAUAUUGUUUCUAGAUAAGAUAUUGUUUUAUGUAUUAUCAUGGGUGCAUUUUGUUAAGUUUCGUGCACAAGUUGUUGAUAUUUACACAAUACUGUGUGUCCUAUGAAUACAUGGUUGUGGCUAUCAUUAAGAGUAUUCUGCUUCUGAAGUAUUAUUUUUCUUCUACGUUAGUUAUUUGAUUCUUGGGAGUUUGACAAUUUCAGAGGUGGAGGCUGGCCUGCAGCUUGUGUGCGCGGAGGAGAAGCACACUUCACCGACAAGUUGUUCCCGCUAUCCUCGCUGCCACUGCCAGUGACGGAACUUGGUGGUGAGCCUCUUCUCGCCCCCUCUCAGUUCUUCCCUUUUGAUCUGGAUGAUUUGUUCAUGUUGUUAGUGUUUAAAAAUAUCUUUCGUUGUUCUAGCUGAUAAUCUUGUUGGUCGCUGUCAGUGUGGUGCAUAUACACCUAGGCUUUAAGUUGUUGUGAUUUUCCUAUAAAAUGUUGUUGAGGGCAUGGAACUGAAAUUGACAUCAGAAAUAGACUUGUUAAUUUUUUGUGUUGCCACCAAACAAAAGCAGGUAUAUAAUCUACAAACCAGCAUAGCCGACCAGUGUGAUUUCAUAAAUAUGUAUACUUCUACAAAAUGGAGUAGGAACAUGCAGCUAAAUUUACGAUCAUCAAUUUUUCAGUUUUUUAUAACUUGUGUUCUGAAGCAGUUUGUUUUCUUCAAUUACAUGAUUUAGUAAAAUAACAUAUGGCCAGUUCAUUCCAAGUGUUGUUGAUUGUAGCAUAUUUCGGCCUUAUCUUCUAACAUACUUCAUGGUUUCAUUAGUGGACAACAUGCUGGAAAGAGAGUGUUCAUCCCUAUGAUCCCUUUGGCGCCCUCGGAGGACAUUUCACUUCCUUUCAAGUUGAAGAGGAAACAGUUCCCUGGAUCGAUCCUGGAGAGCCCCUUCCGUAACCAAGUCCCCUCCCCACUCGGAGUCCUCCGCCACUGACGCACGGGUAAGCGCCAGAGAUGCGGUGCAUCCACGCGGUUCAACGAGCUGCCGCUGUCGUAGAUAACCAAGACGUACACGGAGAUAAGCAAGAUUCAGUGUGCUGCACUGCCCCCACGCGCUCUGAGGGUGCGAUGUCCCCGACGUGUCCAAGACAAGGUCCAGGAAGACCCUCGCCUUCGUUAUCCUGGUAAAGUUUUGCUGUUAUUUUACUCCCCCAAUUCCACUUACAGGGGAACAAAGAGUAAGAGUAAUCCUGGGGAUAAUGGUAUUUUCAUUUGUGCUUCUAAUUAAUAGUAUUACUGUCAGCUCCAUCCUUAGAGCAAUUGACGAAAAUGACUAUAUCACCUAGAUUGAUAGACAAUAAUUAUGCACAAACAUGGCAAUGUCCACAAAACAACUGCCGCUGCAUUGCUAAGAUGCAGCUUGAUUUGGCCUCAAUAUUUUGAUUUUUGAGUAUUACUUUCUUCCACUCCUCUGCAAAAUACUCCUAUGUUCUAGCUUCUCAAGCCUCUACUCUCAACCAGUCCAGUUGUCCAGGUGUUUUUUUUUUGAUAAAUAUUGAUUUUGUUUCCUUUAUCUAUCGGUUUCAAUUCUGUAUCCGCCGUUCUCAGGAUAACUGUGUGAUGUCGCCAUGGGAUCCAAAAUAACUAUUUUUUACUGAAGCUACAGACUUAAGCAGUUUCUACCACGUGUACUGUAUUUUGAGUUAAACCUGAACGGCUUUCGUCGCAUGAUACACCACAGUGCUUUCAUGUUUUUAGGAGGGUAGUUCUUCCCUGUGUUAUGAAUAUGAUUACUAUGGUGUCACUGUACAUUUCUUAUAUGGUUAGUUCUUAAUUUUCUUCAUUAUUCCAAACAUGUGUACCCACUAGGAUUUCAUUUUUUAUUAUUUACCUUCAAGCAGUAUAUAUUACUGUUGUUUGUUUUCCACCUUGAUCCUUCGCUGAUAUUUUUCCUAGGAAACUUCACAUGGAAUUAGGAUCAGUUAAUAAGAUUCUGGUAUAUUCUCAAUUUUUCUUGCUUUAUGCAUGAACCUAUCAUCAAGAUUUGGAUCUCUUAUAUGUGCCUUUGCUGCUGUAGAUUUGUUGGUGUUGAUUUGCAGUAAGAGGAAAUGUACUAUUGUUCUCAUCAAUUUCUUUCAUACCAUGUGUAUGGUUAGUUCUUAAUAUUCUUCAUUAUUCAAAAUACUUCUACCCACUAGGAUUCAUUUUUUUUUUACCGUCAAGCACUAUAUAUAUUACUGUUGUUUGUUGUAUACCUUGAUCCUUCGCUGAUGUUUUUCCUAGGCAACUUCACAUGGAAUUAGGAUCACUUAAUAAGAUUCUGGUAUAUUCUGCAAAUUUUCUUGCUUUAUGCAUGAACCUAUCAUCAAGAAUUGGAUCUCUUAUAUGUGCAUGUGCUGCUGUAUAUUGGUUGGGUGUUGAUUUGUAGUAAGAGGAAAUGUACUAUUGUUCUCAUCAAUUUCUUUCAUAUCAUCUUAUAAAAAUAUGUUGUUUAAAUAUGAAGAGGUGGAUAAGUUUUUGGCUUUAGUUACUGAAUAUCCAGAUCCGGCUUGCUUCUCAGCUAUGGCCUACAUUUAGAAGAAAUAUGUUGUUUAAAUAUGAAGAGGUGGAUAAGUUUCUGGCUUUAGUUACUGAAUAUCCGGAUCCUGCUUGCUUCUCAGCCAUGGCUUACAUUUAGAGAAGACAUGUUCAUAUGUAAGAGAUUUAAGGUCAAUGAUCUCCCCCUAUUGUAAUGCUCAUCAUCUUAAUCCAGACAUUGCUAUAUAUACGCACCAUGGUUCAUGACUGUACUUUUUUCUUACGUGUUUACGAAGUUUGUCAGUAUUAUUAUGCAGAGAUAACCUGUCAUGGUUCUACGUUGAUGUGUUCUUUCAUUUGUCAAUUUCUUUUGCUUUGAAGCAAUGUUGAUUGCCUCAAAGAAUGGUUCCGCGUGGCUUACACGCUUAUACCUACUUGAAUGUUAAAUUUUAUUAGCAAAUUCAUCGAGAACAAUGCCAACAUUUUAUGUCUUGCUACAUGAAGCUAUGUACUGCAGGGUACAACAGUGUCAACAUUUCCGGUGCUCAUUGACAAUAAGAUUGAAGAUGUAUUUUCUUGAUUGGAAAUAUUAUACCUCAAAUUUAAUUCAAUCGUGGAUACAAUGACAACUUUAUGCCCUGAAUAACAAGUGAUUAUGUGAGUGUAGGAAUUAGGACUGGUGACAACAACAUGUGGAGUGGCACAACAAGUGGUGCUGUGGAGUACCGAAGCAAGGGUAGUCAGGUAAAUCCAACGGCGUGCACGUUUCGAUCGCCGACUGCGAUCGCCCUAUUUGGACAAGGGGCACAUUGGUUCAUAAAACAAUCAACACGUCUUUAUGAUUUAAAUUUGAAUUAUGAUGGAAAUAUUUCUGUUUCAUAAUCGAGACGUGUGUUACACGUACAUGCUUACUAGUUGGGACGUAAAAAACUGUCACGAUUCACUUCUAAAAGCAUGCUGUCAGCGGAACCAACGUAUAAUGUGUGCUAUUUUGAAACAAGCCUAAUACAACCAUUAAUUAUAUACCAAUGUAAAGUGCAUCACACCACCAGAUUGACAAUCAUGCGAGGAUCGGGAGGGACAGGGAAGUGUCGGUGUAAGAGCAACUCGGGCGACCCAUUUCGUUCGUGGGUGUCUAUUUGGGUCGGUGCGGAUUCAUUUUUGACUUGGAUUUGCGUCGGCGCGGACAAGAGAAGCGCGCGCGCUUGGCUUCUCCUUUCCCCUCAAAACCCUGCUGCCCGCCAUGGAUGACGACCUCGCCACCGGCCUUGCCUUCCUCAACUUGUCCGGCAUGACGACUGCCCCCUUCGGCAAAAGCAAGCCUCGCGCCUCCCGCAAGACCGCCGUCGCGCCCAAGCCGAAGAAAACGAGUUGGCGAAGAGGAAGGGCGGGAGGAGGCACGCAACGGGCGUGAGGGACGAAGCCAUCGUGGCCGUCGCUGUCGCCGCACCGCAGGUCACCAACGCCCGCGUCGCAUCGGCAACGAGGGAGGCGCUAUAUAUGCUAGGGUUAAACCCUAGUCAGCAUGGCUUGUCAACGCCGCUGUGGCCGCGGCCAGCACCGGCUCAUCUGCGUUCCCUCGAAUGGUGCUGCCCUGACUCGCCCCGCGCGUCGGCGAUGCAGCCGAUACCCGGCUUCCAUGUUACCCACAGGCCUCCCACCUCUCCGGGGAGUGCUCGCCCGAGGUGAGCGUGGUGGCGCCUUCCAUGCCCAUGCCCAUCGACCUCAACGCCACACCGGUGGCCGGUGGCUCGUCAUCCGGAGGCGCGCGACACAUGCCAGCCGAUGUGGAGGGCAUGGUGAACAAGGACUCAAGGGAGGAGGAGCAUCGACGAUACAAAGAAGAACAAAUGAACGCUUUCAUGGUGAUCCAAAGGAGGAGGCUUGAGAUGGAUGCAGAGAAGCAAGCCAAGAUGCUUGAGAUGGAUGCGGAGAAGCAAGCCAAGAUGCUAGAGAUCGAGGUCGCCAACGCCAAAACCAAGGCGAAAGAAGUGGCUCUCGCGAGCAUGAUGACUGGGGUGGAGAUCAUGAUGUUGGAUCUCAACACCGUGUCGCCAAGGAAGAGGUUGUGGUUCGAGAAGAUGCAGGCCGACAUGCUCAAGUUCGACGACGAGUGACAAAAGGCGGCGAGCGCCAUACUUUUUUUGUAUGCCAACAAGUGUGCUGGCGUGACCACGGCCGUGAUGGCGUGGUCGAACUCCCGCCACUUUUUUGUGUGCUGGCAUGUGUGUCGGCCACUGGCAAGUGCGCCAGUCGAACUGUGUGUUAUUUUUCUGAAGCUGACAUUGUAUGCCGGCGCUGGCCAUGGUGUUGAUAUGAACUUUGGGACGACGACAUGGUCGCUGGCAUGAACUAUGGCCGCAGGCCUUUUUUCAAAAUUUGCAUGCGGACAUGAAAUGGGUCGACGCAUUAGGCGCACUGCCAACCCAAAUCUCAAACGGGACGGACACCGAGCGGGCGGCCGAUCCAACGGACGAAAAGCGGAAAGAAGCGCCGUCUGUUUGGGUCUUUGGAGUUGCUCUAUUUUAUAUAAUCCAGAAGAGGAAGGCCGGUUGAGUACUUUAUUGUCAAGAUAGGUUUUAUCCACUUUAUUGAAUUUAUGUCAUUGAAGCAAUGGACUUGCUAGCCAGGGUGCCGAGUUGUUAAGACCCCGCUCUUGAAUGGAUAAAGCAACCGGCGGAGGUGAAGUCUAAGAGCAAGAAAAGAGAGCUUGAAACUUCUUUCCAUUACAAUCACAACCUGUCACUCUAGUCAGAACGACUCAUUCUUGAUCACUUUCCCAGUAUUCUUGCAUGUGUCUUUGAAAAAGGACGAGGUGUUGUUGAGGGUUCCUACCCCAUUCAACAUUUUGCAUUUUGGUUGCUUUCUCUUUUGCAACUCUUUUAUAGCAAUAUUCGUAGGCUAACCCAGACAUCCAUCACUCCCAGAAAAAAGAUUCCAACACCGUCAUGACAAAAGGCAUCGGUUUUCUCUAAUCUAACUUGAAUUCAGAUCAAUAAUCAAUAGGCACACGAACAAGGCAAGAGCGCGGUUUCAGCUAAAAUCAACUCUACGAGGAAGGCAGAACUCAGUGGUGACUGUGGGACAAUGAUUGUAUCAAAAUUCAGAGGUGAAACAUGCAAAUCCUUAAUGAUGCAAUGCUAGCUAACAAAGUAUUGGUACCAAUUGAGCAUCAUGAAAGCUCUUGUGCACGAGUCAAGGGGUUGUUUGGGACUGUUUUGCUCCCUAAAAUUCAUCUCCGCUCUAAAAAAUGCAAGCCAAACGAGAUAGCUUCGCGAUAUGUCGCUCCACAAAAAAAAUCUAGGGUUAGGGUUAGAAUCUGGGGUACAACCCCUGUUUUCGUGAAGCUCUUAAAGGGGUGCUAAAAAACUCUAGAAGCUAGAGUUGGGGGAAAUUACCCACCACUACCAUUAGUAAGUGGACACCCUUUGUUUUUCCCAUGACAUCCAAUCAAGUAGAUCAUUUUCCACCAAAUUUCUCAUUUUUGAAACUAGAGCUAGCUGAAAGCCAAACACGAUAAACUACUCUUUGGUGGAGCUGCAACCCCUAUAUGGAACUUCUCCAAAGUACAUCGGGUGGAGUGAAGCUGAUUUUGGUGAAGCGAAGCAGUCCCAAACAGACCCUAAAGGGACAGUAUUUGUAAUCCUUGUACUGCCACAUGGUCCUUGUACUGCCUCUUAUACAUCACCUACUCAUGCAAAUCAAAGACUUCAAAGCUCUUAUGAUCAUGCUCUCAUUAUCAUUUGUCCUAGAGCUAGAUGCUCUUGAAGUGUACAUUCAUAGUGUGUUUUCACCAUCUUCAUCUUCGUCGCCUCCAAUGUCUUUUUCAACCAAAAUCUUCACCAUCUCAUGACGAGUUGAGGUGGCAAUCAUCUUCAAACAAGCUGCUCUGACCCAACAAACCUUCACAUGCCCACUCACCUACACCUUAGUUUGACGUUAGCUAGAAUCAUAGUUUAAAAAACCGAACCGGCGCUAGUGGAGGCGAUUGCUAUACAAAUUGGUUUUUAUCCCCUUUCCGUGACAAAGUUUUAAACCGCCGCCUUGCUUGUGUGUGCGAAAGGGGAAGGGGGGGGGGGGUCCUUCGCACAUGACCCAGAAAACCGUCGGCAAUAGGUCCUCCGGUCACACACGCGGGGCAAAAAGAGCUCGUGUGCUAUCGGCCGAGCCAUCGCAAACAAUUAUGCAUGCCCAAUUGUUUUCGUUUGUAUGUACAUCCCACACAGUGAAUUCAGACAAACGUUUCCUUUCGUAUGUACAUCCCACAGUGAAUCCGAGACAAAUGUUUCCGUCCGUCCGUACAUCACACACAAUUUUCUGCAUCAAAUCGUCUGUGAUAGUGUUGCCAUUGCAGACGAUAUUAAUAAUGCUAUCGUUUGUGUUAUUGAAUGCAUCACGCACGGUGCCUAGAAGAAACCGUGUGGCAUAGGCUGCCCAUCACACACCUUUUAUGUGGAAAACGUUUGUGCGAGGUGGCCUAACACAAAUUGUUGUCCACAUGAAGUCAUGUGUGAUUGUUCGUUGAUCCAACACGCUUACUUCCUAAAAACCGUGUGGGUUAUCCGAGGUCAUCGCCCAUGAUGUUGUCUUAAUAACCGUUUGCAAUAGAAAAACCCAAUAAGCAGGCUAAUUGGCCUAUUAUUUUGAAUCCGUUAGUAAUCAAAUUAACAAUUCAUAUUAAACACACAAUAUAUUUCAUUUUCGCAUUAUGGAACCAGGAUUUCAUAAUUGAAAUACAUCAAGUACAACAUCAUAUAGCUUCAACACUCACUUACACCAUAUAGGCAUAUAGCUAUUUAGCCCAUUACACAACAACAUCAAAUUUCACAUGCAACAUCUAAAACCUUUGGAAACUAGCAUCGUAGACGGUAGAUAGAUAGAUGAAUCUCAUUGUCGAGGGAAUUUACCCCAGGUAGCCUCAUCCGCACCCAAUAAUAUUUCAAGACAUCGGGGAUGGCAAAGCCCUCAUGCCGGCUAGCCGUGUGGCCGGCUAGGACCACGCGGCCGGCUUCCAGAAGACAGCGUACGCUUAGAAGGCGGCUUCGGGGGUGGGCUGGCUUCUAGCAGUCGGCCCCUCCUUCUCCUCGGAGUCUGCACUCACCUACUACGACGAGACAAGGCGUAGCUACAGUGUCGCCUGCUCCCCCCAAAUCCCAGAAGGGCAUGGCUACAGUGCCCGCUGACCAAACGGCCACCUACCCACACAACGUGGGACUGUAGCCAUACGAUGCAUGACGCGGCCCUCGUCAGCAAGGACCGCGCUACAGCAAAAGGCAAUCAGCAUGGCCCACAGGCGGCGGGCCCUACCCGCCGGCUGGAUUCUCGACAGCCAGCGAGGCCCUCCAGAGGCAGGCCCCAACAGCCGACGGAGAACCUGGCGACCCUAGACACCGACGUCCGGGUCCUACACCCGACCGUAUUACCAUUGUACCCCUGGGGGUCAGCCUGUAAGACCCCCCGGGCUCACCCAUGCAAAGGGUUCAACUCUCAUUCCACACACACACCAUAGCUAGGAGAAGCGGGAAAGCCCUACCCUUCUUCCUCCUCUAGCAAUACAGCUCCAGGAGCAACUUUGUAUACUAUCGAUCAUAGUCAUCACAGCAGGAUUAGGAGUGUUUUCUCUCCGGAGAGCCCCGAACCUGGGUACGUCUCGUGUGCUCCCGAGCUCGUGCUCACUCUCGCUUCCGGAACCCGACGACGUCCUCAUGGUUCCACCCAUGAUAAGCCACCCCCUGGCAUCUGAUGUGAGAUUACCACAAUAGUUGGCACCCACCGUGGGGCCAUCCGUGGCGUCGGCCAUCCGGAAGGAAACCCUCCACCCCGCCGCGAGAACGGAGUGACCUCCUGGUCCUCUAGUGCUGGCGACCGCGGCCAGCGGAACCCGGAGCCGGCUGCUAGCCGUAGUCGGUGAUCUCACGAGACGGUUGUGAACAGCCGGCAAGUUCCUCUGAGAGUGGAGGGCCGGCGCCAGCAGGAUGAACGUCCGCCCCCGGUAGGGAGAGGCUGGCUUCUCCAGCACCGGUUGACCACCCAACCUUGGGGGGCCGGCUAGGCCCCCGUGAAGCAGUCAGCGAGAAUGACGCUCGUCGCCGGAUCGAGCAGCUGGCUCGGUCCCUAGCAAUGGAGGAUGAGGAUAUAGUCAGCCCGGCCUACUUUGGCCCCCGCAUCCGCGACGAGCCCUUCCCCAAAGGGUUCUUGCUUCCUCGCGACACUCCCAAGUAGAACGGCGCCGUGAAGCCGGAAGAUUGGCUCACCGACUAUGCCACAGCCGUCAUCAUAGUAAACGGCAACAAGCGCGUUGCCAUGAGGUACGUUCCGCUCAUGUUGCAGGGCAUGACCCGGACAUGGCUGAACAACCUCAAGCCCAAGAGCAUCAACAGUUGGCUGGACUUCAGCGAAGUCUUCGUGCGCAACUUCAACAGCACCUACAAGCGGCCCCCAAGCCUCGUCAGCUCUCGAUGUGCGUUCAGGGCCCAACCGAGUCCACUCACGACUACCUGACGCACUGGGCUGAGUUGUGCAACUCUUGCGAGGGGGUGCACGAGGUGCAAGCCAUCGAGUACUUCACCGCCGGGUGCACAAAGGGCACCCUGCUCAAGCACAAGCUUUUGUGCGACGAGCCGGCUACCUUGGACGAGCUCCUGGUGAUGGCGGACAAGUACGCCAUUGCCGACUCUUCCAUAAAGUCGGAGAUCCGGAUCAAUGCGUCCGAGAAGGUGAUCCCCUCGGCUUCUCAGGCGUCGGCUGGUGACCCCAACCGGCAUCAGCAACCGAACGACAACAAGCGCAAGGCCCAGCAACCGGCUUCUAAUAGUCGGCGGGUGGCGACCGUCGAGGACCAGCAGCCGUUAGGUCAACCCGGCCCCAAGCGUCAGCGGGGCGGCAAGGGCGCCUGGCUGCCGGCCUUCUCCUUUGAGCAGACCCUCGACGCUCCAUGCAAGUUCCACAAUCGCGUGAAGCCCAACCAUACAACCUGGCAGUGCAGCUGGCUCACCCAAAUCACUAAGGGUGAGGGCUUGCCGCUGCCUCUAGCCGGCCCGGCGGUUCUGGCUCCUCAGCAGCCAGCCCGCCCUGUCGGCAUGCUCCAAGAUGAAUUCCCCAACAAGAACGCCACUUACGUCGUCUUCACCAGUGAAGCCAGCGACAAGCACAGUCGGCGUUAGCAGCACCGCGAGGUGAAUGCUGUUAUUCCAGAGGUCCCCCAAUUCAUGCACUAGUCCGAGAGGCCCAUCACCUGGAGCCGACAUGACCAUCCGUCCGUGAUGCCUUCGCCGGGUGUUUAUGCCAUGGUGCUGGACUCCACCUUCUCAACUGAGAGGCAGGCGUGCCGCUUCUCCCGAAUCCUGAUAGACGGCGGUAGAAACAUCAACAUCCUCUACCGCGACACCAUGGAAAAGAUGGGCAUCAAGGAGCAGCAACUCCAGCCCAGCCGGACCGUGUUCUAUGGCAUUAUCCCUGGGCUUUCCCGCUCUCCAAUCGGCAAGAUCAAGAUCGACGUCCUGUUCGGCGACACGACCCACUUCUGCCGAGAGCCUAUCUGGUUUGAGGUGGUUGACUUGGACAACCCCUACCACAUGCUCUUGGGCCGGCCCGUGAUAGCCAAGUUCAUGAUGGUUCCGCACUAUGCAUACCUAAAGGCGAAGAUGCCGGGUCCCAAGGGCAUCAUCACCAUUGCCGACGACUAUAAAAAGUCGCUCGAAUGCGCCGCAGCCAGCUCCCGGCUGGCCGAGUCCCUCAUCAUCGCCAAAGAAAAGUCCCUCCUUGACUGGGCUGUGGCCAUGGCCAGCAAGCAGCCAACCAUGCUGACUGACCCCAAGGAUGAUGAAGGCGAGGGCUCCUUCUAGCUGGCCAAGGAAACCAAGAAGAUCAUCUUGGACCCGGCGCACCCGGAGCAAUAUGUUGUCGUGGGGUCCAACCUCGAUAGCAAAUAGGAAGGCCAGCUCGUCGACUUCCUCCGUGAGAAUCGGGAUAUAUUCGCGUGGUCCCCCAAGGACAUGCCGGGUGUUCCAAAGAAGUUCACGGAGCACAAGCUGCAUGUACGGCCAGAUGCUAAGCCGGUCAAGCAACCCCUCCACCACCUAUCACAAGAGAAGAGAAGGAUCGUUGGUGAAGAAAUCGCCCGGCUUCUGGCAUCUAGCUUCAUCAUGGAAGUCUUCUACCCGGACUGGCUUGUCAACCCAGUCCUCGUUUUGAAGAAAAACAACAAGUGGCGCAUGUGUAUUGUAAGUGCAUCUAGUGCCACCCCUAGUUGGUUUUGGAGUAUUGACGACAAACCUAGUUGAGGGACUAAUGUGUUUGUGAGAAUUGCAGGAUAACACAAGUAGAAGUCCCUCAUUGAUUCGGUUUUACUACCAGAGAUGACCCCUAAAAAUGUAUGAAGACAUUGAAGCCAAAGGUGGUAUAUGAAGAUAUUCACAUUGAAGACUAUGACAAAAGAAGACACGUUAUGAAGCCUAUGGAGCUCGAAGACUUAGAUCUUUCGAAGUUCUUUUUCUUUUGUGUUGAGUCAUAGGAACCACCGCACUGUUAAGUGGGGUCCACGAGAACCAGUCAGAAUGACUGAAGUGAUGCCUAAAUCAAAAACCUAUGUCUUCGAGUGAAGACAAUGAGAGCGAAUCUUGUCUAGAGCCGGACAAGUCAGCUUUGCUUGUAGCCCAAGUAAAGUUGCCAUGAGAGUUUGAAAUCUGACCGUUGAGACACGUGUCAGUUCCUUAGUGACCCAGGGUCAUUUCGGACAAAUCAGGUCGGGUUGCCAAGUGGCUAUAAAUAGCCCACCCCCUACAACCAUAAACGGUUGGCUGCUCAGAUUUCAGUGCACGGCUUUUGUCGUUUGAGAGCAACCCACCUCGAAGCCUUUGAGAGAAAAUUCCUAGCGAGGAGAAAAGCCCUAACCACCCAGAGCCAGAGAACAUUGGGCAUCACUUAAGUCUUCUUGUCUGUGAUUUGAAGACUUAUUACACUUGAGGACUGUGAAUCCUCCAGACGGUUAGGCGUCGCGGUCAAAGCAUCCAAGAGACAUUGUGGAUUGCCACUGAACGAAGUUUGUGAAGGUUUGGGAGUCUACCUUGAAGACUUACCAGAGUGAUUGGGCGAGGACUAUGUGACCUUAGCUCAAGGAGAAUACGGUGAGGACUUGGUGUCCUGAGCUGCGUGUUCAAGACUGGGUGUCCGGGACUGUGUGUCCUAAGGUUUAAAUACCUAGCCGCUCCAACCAGACGUACAGUUGUCACAGCAACUGGAACUGGUCCAACACAUCAUUGUCUUCAACGAGUCACUGGUUUCAUCUUCACUUCCUUUUUCUUACUGUUACUCAUUGUGAAGCCAUUGCAUGCUUGCUCUAUCUUUUGUCUUCACAACGUGAAUGUAUGAUCUGUUUGGCUUCAUAACUUCUUCCUACCUGAUCCUUAUUACACUACAGCUGUUUGUCAUUGUGCUUUCACUCUAUUGAAUACUUGACCAUGGCCGGCCUAGUGUAAUCUAAUUUCCGCUGCAUAGUAAUAUGCAUAAUCUUUGCUGUUUGUCUUCAUAACUCCCACGUUUUGAAGACUUUCAUAAAAAUCGCCUAUUCACCCCCCUCUAGUCGAUAUAACGCACUUUCAAUUGGUAUCAGAGCGAGGUGCUCCCUUGUUCCGUGUGAUUCGGUUUAACCACCUGAAGUUUUAGCUAUGUCGACUGCAGGGAUAAUCAAAGUCUUCGCUGUGUGCCCCGUCUUCGAUGGAACUGAAUAUCCCUACUGGAAGAAUAAGAUGCACAUGCAUCUUGAAGCCAUUGACGUCGACCUAUGGUAUGUCGUCGAGAACGGCGUUCCCAAGGCUGGAGAAGGUGUCACUGCUGCUGAUGUCAAGAAGUUCACUCAACUGGACUCCACUGCCAAAAAUAUCAUCUGCGGUCAUCUGACAAAAGGACAGUAUGGCCGUGUGAGUGCCUUGAAGACAUCCAAGCUGGUCUGGGACUGGCUCUCCAAAGUCAAUGAAGGCAUCUCAACCCAGAGAGAUCAAAGAAUCAGUGUUCUUCGCAACCUCUUCAACCGCUUCAAGCGAAAUGACAAUGAGAAUGUUCAGCACACAUUUGACCGGCUCAUUGACAUCACAAAUGAGCUUCAAGCCCUCGGUGCCACUGAGAUCACCAAACAUGAAAUCGUCAAGACGCUGCUGAGAUCACUUGAUAGUUCGUUUGACAUCCUAGCCCUGAUGAUUCAAGAACGUCCUGAUUUCAAGACACUCGAUCCGUCUGACAUACUUGAGAGGCUCAACACACAUGAGUUUUAGCUUUCUGAGAAAAGAGAUAUCUACGGUCCAAACUAUGGGCGAACUCGAGCCUUGAAGGCAAAAGCUGUUUCCUCAUCUGAAGAAGAAUCUAACAGCAGUUCUGAUGAUCCUGAAGACAUUGGAAGGGAACUUGCAAUGCUAGUGAAGAAGUUCCAAAAAUUCACCAAGAAGAAAGGCUUCAGAAAAUCUUCACGAUCAAGCUCAAGGAAUGAUGAAGUUUUUGCUCAUGACUACAAGAAGAAAACAUGUCACAAGUGCAAGAAAACUAGACACUUCAUCUCUGAGUGUCCACAGUGGGACAAUGAGAACAGAAGGAAGAAGAAGAGCAAGGAAUAUGAUUCUGACGACAAGAAGAAGAAGAAAUACUCAAAGUCUUCUUCCAAGUCUUCCUCAAAGUCUUCAUCACACAAGAAGAGCUCAUCUGGCAAGGUACGUGCGUUUGUUGGCAAGGAAAUGGAUUCAGAGGAGGAGUCGCUUCUGAGGAGGCAGAGGUGGAAUCUGAGGAGGAGUCUGAUUCUGGCAUUGCGAGUCUGGCUACAGCAUACGUCGCCAAGUCCAUCUUCAACACUGAAGACAAUGACUUCAUCACCGACACUGAUGCAAAUGACAAGAACGACUCCACUCCUACCUACUGCUUCAUGGCACGCGGUGCCAAGGUAAACACACGCACUACUCGCUAUCAAACAUCUAGUGACGAUGACUCUGACUGUGAUUCAAAACCCAGCUACAAAACACUUGCUAAAAUUGCAACUGAACAACAGAAAGCUAUGGAACAUAUUCAAAAACUGUUAGACAGAAGUGAUGAUCUGUUGGGUGCUGAAAUGACUCGAUCUGAAUCCUUAAUUGAAGACAUAAAAAAUCUUCACAUUAAGUAUCAGGAACUUGAAGAUCGUCUUGAUACUCUCUCAACAACUCAUGAAAAGCUUUCCUAUGAUUAUCUUCAAAGGAAGCAAGAACUUGAGAAAUUGAGAGCGGCUCAUGAAGAUCUUCAAAAGGAAAACGAGUCACUUCGCGCCGAACAGAUCAGUUCCGCUCAGGAAGGAUUUGAACCACCAUGUCUUAAAUGCAUUGAGCAUGAUAAUGCUACUUCUGUUGCUGAAUGUUCCACUGCUACUGCUGUUGCAAUUGAAAGUGCGUUAUAUCGACUAGAGGGGGGGUGAAUAGGCAAUUUUAUGAAAGUCUUCAAAACGUGGGAGUUAUGAAGACAAACAACAAAGAUUAUGCCUAUUACUAUGCAGCGGAAGUUAGAUUACACUAGGCCAGCCAUGGUCAAGUAUUCAAUAGAGUGAAAGCACAAUGACAAACAGCUGUAGUGUAAUAAGGAUCAGGUAGGAAGAAGUUAUGAAGCCAAACAGAUCAUACAUUCACGUUGUGAAGACAAAAGAUAGAGCAAGCAUGCAAUGGCUUCACAAUGAGUAACAGUAAGAAAAAGGAAGUGAAGAUGAAACCAGUGACUCGUUGAAGACAAUGAUGUGUUGGACCAGUUCCAGUUGCUGUGACAACUGUACGUCUGGUUGGAGCGGCUAGGUAUUUAAACCUUAGGACACACAGUCCCGGACACCCAGUCCUGAACACGCAGCUCAGGACACCAAGUCCUCACCGUAUUCUCCUUGAGCUAAGGUCACAUAGUCCUCGCCCAAUCACUCUGGUAAGUCUUCAAGGUAGACUCCCAAACCUUCACAAACUUCGUUCACUGGCAAUCCACAAUGUCUCUUGGACGCUCUGAACGCGACACCUAAUUGUCUGGAGGAUUGACAGUCCUCAAGUGUAAUAAGUCUUCAGAUCACACAAACAAGAAGACUUAAGUGAUGCCCAAUGUUCUCUGGCUCUGGGUGGUUAGGGCUUUUCUCCUCGCUAGGAAUUUUCUCUCAAAGGCUUCGAGGUGGGUUGCUCUCAAACGACAAAAGCCGUGCACUGAAAUCUAAGCAGCCAACCGUUUAUGGUUGUAGGGGGUGGGCUAUUUAUAGCCACUUGGCAACCCGACCUGAUUUUUCCGAAAUGACCCUGGGUCACUAAGGAACUAACACGUGUCUCAACGGUCAGAUUUCAAACUCUCAUGGCAACUUUACUUGGGCUACAAGGAAAGCUGACUUGUCCGGCUCUGGACAAGAUUCGCUCUCAUUGUCUUCACUCGAAGACAUAGGUUUUUUGGUUUAGGCAUCACUUCAGUCAUUCUGAGUGGUUCUCCUGGACCCCACUUAACAGUACGGUGGUUCCUAUGACUCAACACAAAAGAAAAAGAACUACGAAAGAUCUAAGUCUUCGAGCUCCAUAGGCUUCAUAACGUGUCUUCUUUUGUCAUAGUCUUCAAAGUGAAUAUCUUCAUAUACCACCUUUGGCUUCAAUGUCUUCAUACAUUUUUAGGGGUCAUCUCUGGAAGUAAAACCGAAUCAAUGAGGGACUUCUACCUGUUUUAUCCUGCAAUUCUCACAAACACAUUAGUCCCUCAACUAGGUUUGUCGUCAAUACUCCAAAACCAACUAGGGUUGGCACUAGAUGCACUUACAAUCUCCCCCUUUUUGGUGAUUGAUGACAAACUAGUUGAAGUUUUCAACGAGGAAUAUAGUCUGUGAAAUUGUAAAGGACAAGGAAUUGUCUUCAUAAGUUGCAAGGGCUCCCCCUGAAGAUGUGCAUAUAAGUUAAUUUGCUUUUGGAAUGCAAAUGCACAUGGCAGGUUGUACUUGAGGAGAUCCACUUCAGCUUAUGAUGACAAUCCACUAUGCAUGUGAAGGUAUAUGAAGAUAAUGACAUGCAUAAUGGAAAAUGGACGUCUGCAGAAUGAGCUAAGUGCGGAAUUUAUCGUCGCACUUGUGGAAUUUAUCUUCACAAAAUAGGGUGGCAAACAAGUAGCAGACGACCAUCUGGUUUAAGUGUUACAACUCAUAAGAACCAAAUGAAGCAAAAACGGGAGUUGUAAGCACGAAGCAAAAUAUAGCAAAACAUAAAGCACUCGCCCAUAUGGACCCGCUUGAAGACUAUCAACUCAUAUGCUUCUCCCCCUUUUGUCACGAGGACCAAAAAGGAUUUAAGACAUAGAGUGUCUACUCGGUCUCAGGAGCAGUAGGGUCGUUGGAGGUGUUUGGCGGUGCAGAAGAGCUUGGAGGUGCUGAAGCAGGUGGCGGUGAUGUAGCAUCGUCUUCUUCAUCGAUGAUUCUGGCAGUGACUGUGGCAGCAGAUGAAGAAAACUCAGAGUCUUCAAGUGAUGGUGUGUUGCGCAUCACAGCCCUUCUAGGAGGUGUGGUGUCAAACUUGAAGCGCUCAGUGAAGCCAUCCUCUUCAAGUUCAGCUUCAGUACAUAUCAUUGAUAGCCCUUUCCAUGUACGCCGGCGGGUUUCAUGAGUGACAAAAGCAUUCUUGGUGGCAAGAUUUCGAAGACGAUUAACAUCUACCAAGAGGCUUUUCAUCUGACGCUUUAGCCAGUCGUGAUGCCUAUCUUGUUUUUGGUGAAGGGCCACAAGAAGCUCUCGGUCAUUGAGAACACGAGCGCGCUUCUUGGGUCUUGAAGCAGUUGCACUAUCAGUGGCUUCAGUUGAAGCAGGGUGUGGCGCACAUGUAGUGCCAGCCAAAGGAUACACCCUGGAGAUAGCUUCAACACCUUCAUCAUUUUGAGUGAAGCUCUGGUGUUCUGCAUUCUGAAGACUUAUAGGUUGCUUGGCAGGCUCAGGAUAUAUAGCUUCGGCAGAGGUAUCCACAUCUGGCAAGAAGAUCCGAUGAUUUCGGGCUGAGGGCUGAUACGAGAUCGCAGAGUGCAGUUUGAUCAGCCUCAUCACCCAAGGAGCAUAGAACUUCAAACCAAAUAAAUCUGAGCCUGACGCUGCAAGUUGGCGUAUGAAGAAAUCCUGUGCGUUGAAGCAUUUGCCAUGAAGGAUAUAGAAUAUGAGAGUCUUCAUUGCACCCUCAAUCUUGGCAUGUGGAGAGUGUCCCUUAAUGGGCCAGAGAGUCCGCCGGAUGAUGUGAUAUAUGGUCCUGGGCAGGUACUCAAGGUCUUCAACAAAUAACUCAGUUGGAUAGGGUGCAUCAUGGGGCAAAGCCUUCAUCAUUGAGAGCAUCUGACUCAUAUUGGGUUCAGGCCUCUGGAAUAUGCUCUCAAUAGCUUCAUCAUGUAGUUGACAGCCUUCCUCGAAGAAUUUGCCAGGAGUGGGCAGGCCGGUGAGCUCAGUGAUAUCAAACGCAUUUGCUUCAUGAUGGACAUUUCCGGUCAUCCACUCCAGGACCCAAGUCUUCGGAUCUCUGUUGUAUCCUUUAAUAUGGAGGGUGGCAUAGAAUUGCAACAGAAGCUCUUCAUUCCAGUGCUCUUCAUCAGUUAUAAACGGCAGCAAACCCACUUGCUUGAAGCAAUCCAGCGCUUCCUCUAAGCAGGGCAGACCAGCAAUGGCUUCAACAUCAAGGCGCUUGUGAGGGAAGAUGCGGCCUUGGUUGUAUAAGAUGCAUGAAUAGUAGCUGCGCUGAGGAUAGCUCCAGAACCUAUCUGAUGAAAUCCGUUCCCUUGAGUAGGGGUUCUUGGAGCUGUUGAAAAACGUAUUGUCUGCCCUGAAGCUAUUGAUGUCAAAGGAGCCAGGUGCUGAUGCAGGACCUGGGAACCUUGGCAUCCUUGGGACUGGCUUCUGUACAUGAGGCCUGUGCUCAACAUGGUAAUCAAAUUGAGGACCUGCAGCAGACUCAGGAACGGAAGUGUCUGGUUCAGUAGCUUCGCUGUCUGCUGAAGCUUUUGGUGGGGAGGGCUCCACAUUGGCUUCAGUGUUGGUUGUGGCAGCCUCAACAUUUUCAGCCUCUGCUUGACUAGCUGGAGGGUCAGUCACAAGCACGUUCUCUUGGAGAACUGCUUCUUGGUGUAGCGGGGGAGUGGGAUCUUGUGGUACUUCUUCAUUUUCUUCGGCUGAUGCAGCCGGAAUGUCUUUAGCAUAGACUUGAGGCCUUGGACCUUUGUGAAGCCUGCGGAACGCAGACGACGCUUGUGGGGUUGGAGUGGGCUGGACCUCAAAGUCUUCUUCCUCUUGAGGGCGAUCCGCCCAUGACGCAUCUUGUGCAAUUGGCGUCAGAGGACGACCAAUGCUGAUGAGCUCGCUUUGUUCAUACUAAGGAAGGGCUGCAUCAUCUUGUACAUUGUCCUGAUGACCAAUGUCUUCAGCAGCGAUGGGGUCGGCUGCUGGUAUGUCUUCAGCUUCAGGAGCCUCUGUGGAAGCAGGCUCAUGAACCGUCAGUUGACGUUCUGCGUUCGGGUACACCAUAGCAAUAGGUUCAACUAUCAAGGGCUCUGUGGGAGCAGCCCGAGAUUUCUUGAUCUUUCGCUUCUUCUUGCUGGGGGCAGUAGGAGAGGCUUCAGAGCUUUUCCUUUUCCUUGCUUCAGCCUCAGCAGUUCUUAUCUUCUUGAGCUCUGAAGCUGUUGACUGGCUCUUUGGCUCCGAGCCAGUCGUUGCAGUUGGGAAGACAACUGGACUGCUUCUUGCCUAGGUGCCUCUGGUUUAGCCAUAGCAGGCUUCUUCUUCUUCUUCGCGGCCAUCUUGGGGUCAAUGCCUGGACGCCCAAGUGCCUUGCGCUUUUCAGCCUCAUUGUAGGCUUGUACACAUCUUUCCGCCAGAUACUUCAUCCCCUCACAUGAGCCCUGAGCUUCUGCACGCUUCUUCAGAAAAUUUUCUUUGAGCUCAUGCAGCAUGGUCUUGAAGCUCUUCACUUCUUGCACGCUGAGCUUGGCCAUAUUCUUCUUGAACUGAGCCUUUUCAUGAUCAAUUUUCUGCUUCAGUUCAACAAUGCGCUGGGCAAUGGCAAGUUCUGAAGCAAUUGCGCCUUGGAAGGCGACGCUGAGGCCAACAGGCAGCUGCAGAUCUUCAAAGCUUAUGUCUGGUGUGGCAAACCAUUCGUCGAUGAAGUUAUGGAUGAUGGCGACAUCAAAGAGAGGCAAAUUGUUGAAGAUUUCAGCUUCUUCUUUGCUUUUGAUAAGCUGCUCUAGAGCGUCAUCUCCAAGAUCUUCAUCACUUGAUACAUCAAUGGCUUCGCUGCGCAGAAUGGCAGCAGCUGUGAGCUCUUUGCCGGUGUGUGGCUGGGGCACCUUGUCCUUCAGGGGCUUGGAGACGCGGGAUACGUCUUCAGACUGCACACUGUCUUCAGGAGGUGCAGUUGCCAAUGGCUUCACCCUUGAGACUUUUGAGGAAGUGGCCUGCUUUGAAGCUUUUGGCUUCUUCGACUGCUUUGGCUUCGGUAUAGCAGGAGCUUCAUCAGACUCAGAGUCAGCUGGAGGGUCAUUCACGGCAGUCCCUUGGACUAAGAUGUGGGUGAUGAGGCCCUCAAGGUUGGCAAACGGACCAAUGACAUUGGGUUCUGCGUAGCGUGUGCCUUCUGCCCUUGGUGCGGAGGGGCCAGGGUUGUAGUCUAACCCAAAUUUCUUCUUGUUCAGCUUCGCUGAUUGUUGGGCAAACUGGAACUUACGCUUGAACAGAUUGUUGUCUCCACACCAGAGAAGUGACGACGGAUGCGCAUCAUCAGGCUGUGGUCCUCGGACCAUGCAUGGGUAGAAGCCUUGAGCAAUGGCUUCAUCUUUGGUCCUGGGUAUGAGAUUCUUGUAAAUGAUGUCCCCCCAUGGUUUCUUGAUGGCAAAUUUCUCAGCAUACUCCUGAGUGACAAGCGGUAUUUGAACCACUGUUCUUCCCAAUAGCGUCGAAUCCAUUGGAUUCGGGUCUUGCGCUGCCCAUAACUCUCUUCUGGAUCUGUUUUAUACAUUUCUGCCAGGUCUUCAGGCAAAUCUUUUGAAGUUCCUUCACGUCUUUGUCCGCCCCCUUCCUUGCUGCUGCUUCUGAAGCCAUAAACUUUAACUUGAAAGGCUUCAAAACUUUCAAAGGUUUCAAAGGCUUUCUUUUGCUGGACCAACAGGAACUGGCUUCAGGAGAGUUUAUGUGAUGCUGUAGGAAUUCUGCAAAUGAAUGCAUACUAUGAGAACCGAAGGAUUCUCCGACGGACAUGUACCUAUGACAGCAUUAAGGUGCGAGGGAAGGGGAAGAGGUCAUAUGCAUUCUCAGAAGGUUUUGAAGAUUAAUCAGUUUAGAAGACAUUGACCUCAUCGCGAGAAGACAUUCACUCAUAGAUAAGAAGUUGGUUCCAGAUUUGUAUGAACCCACAGAUCAGUACAAGUGAGGAAUCUAACUACUUUAUGAAGCACAAGUGAAUAUACUAGGUAUGUUAUGAGAUGCAGAUUAAGAGAUCUAUCUUAUGUGAAGAGAAACUUCUUAUGGUAGAAAGUGACAGAACCAUGAGAUCAAAAGAGGCUGUAAUAAGAAGUUUUAUUUACCACACUUGGAACUGCUAGACGUAAGUGAGAGAUGAUGCCGAGCAGUUCAGUCCUCCGUGCCCUAACUUGGCGACGGAAGACACCUACGACAACGGCGGAGAGGACGAUGUCCGCAGUCGGCGUGAGGACGGCGUCGGAGAAGUUGCGGCAGCGAAGCGCUUCAUCGCCGGCGUCGUCGAGUGCUAGCGAUGGCGCUAGGGUUCGUGCGAGGGUGGAAGAAGGAGAUAAUGACCGUGGUAAGUGUGAAUUUAUAGGCUCAGGGGCGACACCGUGCUAUUACACAGGUGCUCCUGGCGAUUCGCAUCUGAGGAACGCGUGGCCAGUUUGCGGAAAUUUUGGGUUUGUUCCACGUCCCACGCAUGCCUGGAUUGUCGGGCGGUCGUUCCUGCUUCUCUGGAUUUUAUGUGGAGGAAUGAGCAUUGAAAACGGACUUUAUGGUUGUCUCUUUAUCUUCUGCUGACAAGGACGCAGUGAAGACAUUCGACAGUUUCAAUAGAAUGCAUAUGACUUGGAAAGAUAGAAUUUGAGAUAGAAAGCAUAGAGAGAUUAGGGUCCGAUCACAUUCACUUAGUUCAAAAGAUUCAACCAAGAAGACAUAGCUAUAAGUGAAUGCUGUAGAGGACAGAACACUAGUAUGUGUAUAUCUAUAUAAUCAACGUAGUGAAAAUAAUCAUGAAGACAUGUUAAGUUCGAAGCCAAACCAAAUGUGAAGAUAUUGCAAGGUAAUGCCAUGAGUGAAACACUUCAAAAUAAAACGUUUGGUGGUGGCGUUACCCACCGUAUAGGAAGUAUUAGACCCAGACACGGCGCACAAUUAUCGUGGCGCUCCGAAGUCAAAUUCCACAUUAAUGUAUUCACACUUAGAAUGUAUGUCUUCAUUGAAUGAAGAUAUACUUUACUUUGUGUGUUGCACAUCUAAGUCAUCAAUAUGCAUAAGUGUUAGGAUGUGUGCCUGAUCACAAGACAUUUGAGGAUUCCAAGAUAUUUAGCUCACACCGUAACUUGCAAAAUCUCUUCUCAUCCAAGGGCUUGGUGAAGAUAUCUGCCAAUUGCUCUUCAGUGUUGACGUGUAUGAUAUCAAUGUCUUCCUUCACAACAUGAUCUCUGAUAAAGUGAUGACGAAUUUCAAUGUGCUUUGUCUUCGAGUGCUGAACUGGGUUGUUGGCAAUCUUGAUGGCGCUUUCGUUGUCGCAGUAAAGUGGCACUUGCUUUAGAUGAAUGCCAUAGUCCUUGAGUGUUUGCUUCAUCCACAGAAGCUGAGCGCAGCAAGAUCCAGCAGCAAUGUAUUCAGAUUCAGCAGUGGAGAGAGAUACACAGUUCUGCUUCUUUGAAGACCAACAUACAAGUGAUCGUCCCAGAAAGUGACAUGUGCCUGAUGUAGACUUGCGAUCAACUUUGUCACCAGCAUAAUCAGCAUCCGAAAAUCCAACCAAAUCAAACUCUGAGCCCUUGGGAUACCAUAAUCCUAGAGUUGGGGUGUGAGCCAAAUAUCAAAGAAUUCGCUUCACAGCUAAGUGAUGCGACUCCUUUGGUGCCGCUUGAAAUCAAGCACACAUGCAAACACUAAGCAUAAUAUCUGGCCUAGAUGCACAUAAAUAAAGCGAAGAACCAAUCAUGGAGCGGUAUACCUUUUGAUCGAACUCUUUACCAUUGUCGUCAGGACCUAGAUGAUGUUUGGCUGGCAUUGGUGUUGUGAAGCCUUUGCAGUCUUGCAUACCGAACUUCUUUAGGCAAUCUUUGAGAUACUUCUCUUGAGAUAUGAAGAUGCCAUUGCGUUGUUGUCGUAUUUGAAGACCAAGGAAGAACUUCAGCUCCCCCAUCAUGGACAUCUGAUAUUGCUCUUGCAUCAUAUAUCCAAACUCUUCACUGUACUUCUGAUUGGUGCAGCCGAAGAUAAUGUCAUCCACAUAUAUUUGGCACACAAACAGUUCACCAUCAUAUGUCUUCGUGAAAAGAGUGGGAUCCAGGGAACCAGGUAUGAAGCCUUUGCUCUUCAGGAAGUAUUUGAGUGUGUCAUACCAGGCCCUAGGAGCUUGUUUGAGGCCAUACAGUGCCUUGUUGAGCUUGUAUACCAUAUCAGGAUGUUUUGGAUUUUCAAAGCGAGGCGGUUGUGCAACAUACACUUCUUCUUCAAUCUUGCCAUUGAGAAAGGCACUUUUCACAUCCAUUUGAUAUAGAAGUAUGUUAUGAUGAUUUGCAUAGGCCAACAGUAUGCGUAUGGCUUCAAGCCUUGCCACAGGAGCAAAUGUUUCAUCGAAGUCAAUGCCCUCCACUUGAGUAUAUCCUUGAGCAACGAGACGAGCUUUGUUUCUGACAACUUGACCAUGCUCAUCUUGCUUGUUGCGGUAUAUCCAUUUGGUGCCUAUUAUGUUGUGCUUCCGUGGAUCAGGACGCUUGACCAGUUCCCAUACACUAUUCAGCUCAAACUGUUGAAGCUCUUCUUGCAUAGCUUGAAUCCAUUCAGGUUCCAUGAAGGCUUCUUCAACUUUCUUGGGUUCUGAUAUUGAUACGAAUGCGAAGUGCCCACAGAAAUUUGCUAGCUGAGUUGCCCUUGUACGAGUGAGUGGACUAGGUGCAUUGAUGUUGUUAAUUAUUUUGUCAAUCUGCACUUCAUUGGCAACACGAGGAUGUAUAGGGCGAAGACUUUGCUCUUGCUGAUCUGUGUUGUUGUUGGGAGGAAUGUCUUCAGGUUGAGCAUUUUCUUCAUGUUGAUCAGGUGCUGAGAUGAUAAGUUCUUCUUCAGGAUGAGCUUCAGAAGGUAUAAUCUCUCUAGUUCCCAUUUGCUUGAUUGAUUCACUAGCUGGAAUCUCAUCUAGCACAUUUGGCAGUUGCUCUCUUUGUGAACCAUUUGUCUCAUUGAACCGCACAUCCACUAUUUGAAUCACUUUGUAAUGAAAGAGAUUGAAGACUCUGUAGGAGUGCGAAUCCUUUCCAUAUCCAAGCAUAAAGCCCUCAUGUGCUUUUGGUGCAAACUUUGAGGUGUGGUGUGGGUCCUUGAUCUAGCACCUUGCGCCAAAUACUCUGAAGUAACUGACAUUUGGCUUCUUGCCAAUUAGGAGUUCAUAAGAUGUCUUGUUCAGAAGCUUGUGAAGAUAAACACGAUUGAUUGUAUGGCAUGCAGUGUCAAUGGCUUCAGUCCAGAAUUUUCUUGGAGUCUUGUAUUCAUCUAGCAUUGUUCUGGCCAUCUCAAUGAGUGUUCUGUUCUUGCGUUCGACGACGCCAUUCUGCUGUGGCGUGUACGGAGCUGAGAAUUCAUGUGUGAUGCCCAAGGUAUCAAGAUAUGUAUCAAGGCCAGUGUUCUUGAAUUCAGUGCCAUUGUCACUUCUGAUGUGCUUUAUCUUGGCGCCAAAAUUGUUCAUAGCACGAUUGGCGAAGCGUCUGAAGACAUCCUACACUUCAGUCUUGUAAAGGAUUAUGUGCACCCAAGUAUAUCUAGAGUAGUCAUCAACAAUGACAAAGCCAUAGAGGCAAGCAGUAGUAGUAAAAGUUGAGUAGUGAGUGGGGCCGAAAAGAUCCAUGUGGAGCAGUUCGAAGGGUUGAGUAGUAGUCAUAAUUGUCUUCGAAGGAUGUUUUGCCCUUGUCAUCUUCCCUGCUUCACAGGCACCGCAUAAGUGAUCUUUCUUGAACUUGACGCCCUCGAUGCCUAUGACAUGCUUCUUCUUCGCAAGGGUGUGGAGGUUCCUCAUGCCAGCAUGCCCAAGCCUCCGAUGCCAAAGCCAGCAUUCUGAAGCUUUUGCAAGAAGACAUACCGCAAGUUGUGGCCCUGCUGAGAAAUCUACCACAUACAAAUCAUCUUUCUAAUACCCUUCAAACACUAGAGACUUGUCAGAUUCCAUUAGUACUAGGCAACGAUAUUUUCCAAACAUUACGAUCAUGUUCAAAUCGCAAAGCAUUGAGAUAGACAUUAAGUUGAAGCCAAGGGAUUCAACAAGCAUGACUUUAUCCCUGUGUUGAUCCUUUGAGAUUGCAACUCUACCUAGACCCAAUACCUUACUUUUACCAGUGUCAGCAAAUGUGAUGUGGCUCUUGUCGGAUGGACGUAAGGUUGAGUCCAUAAGAAGGCUUCUUUUGCCAGUCAUGUGAUUUGUACACCCACUGUCAAUAAUCCAUUCUAAAGACUUUGAAGUCGCUAGUGUCGUACCCUACAGUGCAGUUUGGGGGAUAGGCUUCACGAAGAGAAUUGUGAAGCAAAAACAUUUGACGAACCAGUGGGUUAUGAAAACUUAGAUCCAGAUUAGGACUAAUAGGGAGAGUAGCAUGCGAUUCAGGAACGAAGUACAUAAUGAUGCCAUUCGGGCAUUUUAUCUUGUGCCCUACAAGAUUUUUAAGGUCCCCAGCAAUAGCGUCAGAAGAUUUUGUUUUUCUGCUGGAGACCUUUCCCUGCAAAAGAGAGUUAAGCUUUCUUAACCACCCACAUCUUCAAGGGUGGCUUAGAAGCAAUAAGUCUAAGUGCAGCAUCUGAGAAUUUUGGCUUUGAAGCCUUAGCAAACAGUCUUGCAGGUGGACAAUAAUACUCAUAGGAAUAAGCAGAAUAAUUUUUGGUCAUAUGAACAUGACGGUUCAAUGAACCGUUCUCAUAUUCAUAUGCCAGAGUAUGGUUUCCCUGCAAAACAUUUGCGUUAGUGUGACUCGGGUGAGUCCUCUGUUUGUAUGAAGCCUUUGGACCGUAUGAAGCCUUUGGUCUGAGGUUUGUCUUCUUCAAGUGACGUGUCAUGAAGACAUUCACAGGAAGAUUUUCCAGACACUUUUUCGGAACCCAGAUCUUUUUCACAGGCGGUCCAUUCCUGCAGUUAGUACCAAUAUACCUGGCAAACACUUCACCAUUCUGAUUCUUAAACAGUUUAUAGUUUGCAUCAAAGGAUUCAUCAAUGAUAAUGGGGUUAGCACAAGUGAAGCCAGAUAAAUUGGAUGGAUCUGCUGAAAGUUCCUUUGCAGCAACCCAUGUGGUUUUGGGGUACUGCUCAGGUUUCCAGUAAGAGCCAUCUGCAUUUAUUUUCCUCACGAAUCCAACACCCUCUUUCCUAGGGUUUCGGUUCAGAAUCUGCUUCUUGAGGACAUCACAUAAUGUCUGAUGUCCUUUAAGACUUUUGUACAUUCCUGUUUCAAGCAAUGUCUUCAACCUAGCAUUCUCAUCAGCAAUAGCAGUGGUAUCCUCAGCAGAGGGGUUAGUUACCACAUCAAUAGUUGAAGAUAUUGCAACAACAGUAGCAGUGGAACAUUCAGCAACAGAAGUAGCAUUAUCACGCUCAAUGCAUUUAAGACAUGGUGGUUCAAAUCCUUCCUGAGCGGAACUGAUCUGUUCGGCGCGAAGUGACUCGUUUUCCUUUUGAAGAUCUUCAUGAGCCACUCUCAAUUUCUCAAGUUCUUGCUUCCUUUGAAGAUAAUCAUAGGAAAGCUUUUCAUGAGUUGUUGAGAGAGUAUCAAGACGAUCUUUAAGUUCCUGAUACUUAACGUGAAGAUUUUUUAUGUCUUCAAUUAAGGAUUCAGAUCGAGUCAUUUCAGCACCCAACAGAUCAUCGCUUCUGUCUAACAGUUUUUGAAUAUGUUCCAUAGCUUUCUGUUGUUCAGUUGCAAUUUUAGCAAGUGUUUUGUAGCUGGGUUUUGAAUCACAGUCAGAGUCAUCGUCACUAGAUGUUUGAUAGCGAGUAGUGCGUGUGUUUACCUUGGCACCGCGUGCCAUGAAGCAGUAGGUAGGAGUGGAGUCGUUCUUGUCAUUUGCAUCAGUGUCGGUGAUGAAGUCAUUGUCUUCAGUGUUGAAGAUGGACUUGGCGACGUAUGCCGUAGCCAGACUCGCAAUGCCAGAAUCAGACUCCUCCUCCGAUUCCACCUCUGCCUCCUCAGAAGCGGACUCCUCCUCUGAAUCCAUUUCCUUGCCAACAAACGCACGUGCCUUGCCAGAUGAGCUCUUCUGUGUGAUGAAGACUUUGAGGAAGACUUGGAAGAAGACUUUGAGUAUUUCUUCUUCUUCUUGUCGUCAGAAUCAUAUUCCUUGCUCUUCUUCUUCCUUCUGUUCUCAUUGUCCCACUGUGGACACUCAGAGAUGAAGUGUCCAGUUUUCUUGCACUUGUGACAUAUUUUCUUCUUGUAGUCAUGAGCAGAAGCUUCAUCAUUCCUUGAGCUUGAUCGUGAAGAUUUUCUGAAGCCUUUCUUCUUGGUGAAUUUUUGGAACUUCUUUACUAGCAUUGCAAGUUCCCUUCCAAUGUCUUCAGGAUCAUCAAAACUGCUGUCAGAUUCUUCUUCAAAUGAGGAAACAGUUUUUGCCUUCAAGGCACGAGUUCGCCCAUAGUUUGGACCGUAGAUAUCUCUUUUCUCAGAAAGCUGAAACGCAUGUGUGUUGAGCCUCUCAAGUAUGUCAGACGGAUCGAGUGUCUUGAAAUCAGGACGUUCUUGAAUCAUCAGGGCUAGGAUGUAAAACGAACUAUCAAGUGAUCUCAGCAGCGUCUUGAUGAUUUCAUGUUUGGUGAUCUCAGUGGCGCCGAUGGCUUGAAGCUCAUUUGUGAUGUCAGUGAGCCGGUCAAAUGUGUGCUGGACAUUCUCAUUGUCAUUUCGCUUGAAGCGGUUGAAGAGGUUGCGAAGAACACUGAUUCUUUGAUCUCUCUGGGUUGAGAUGCCUUCAUUGACCUUGGAGAGCCAGUCCCAGACCAGCUUGGAUGUCUUCAAGGCACUCACACGGCCAUACUGUCCUUUUGUUAGAUGACCACAGAUGAUAUUUUUGGCAGUGGAGUCCAGUUGAGUGAACUUCUUGACAUCAGCAGCAGUGACACCUUCUCCAGCCUUGGGAACGCCGUUCUCGAUGACAUACCAUAGGUCGACGUCAAUGGCUUCAAGAUGCAUGCGCAUCUUAUUCUUCUAGUAGGGAUAUUCAGUUCCAUUGAAGACGGGGCACGCAGCGGAGACUUUGAUUAUCCCUGCAGUCGACAUAGCUAAAACUCCAGGUGGUUAAACCGAAUCACACAGAACAAGGGAGCACCUUGCUCUGAUACCAAUUGAAAGUGCGUUAUAUCGACUAGAGGGGGGGUGAAUAGGCGAUUUUAUGAAAGUCUUCAAAACGUGGGAGUUAUGAAGACAAACAGCAAAGAUUAUGCCUAUUACUAUGCAGCGGAAGUUAGAUUACACUAGGCCAGCCAUGGUCAAGUAUUCAAUAGAGUGAAAGCACAAUGACAAACAGCUGUAGUGUAAUAAGGAUCAGGUAGGAAGAAGUUAUGAAGCCAAACAGAUCAUACAUUCACGUUGUGAAGACAAAAGAUAGAGCAAGCAUGCAAUGGCUUCACAAUGAGUAACAGUAAGAAAAAGGAAGUGAAGAUGAAACCAGUGACUCGUUGAAGACAAUGAUGUGUUGGACCAGUUCCAGUUGCUGUGACAACUGUACGUCUGGUUGGAGCGGCUAGGUAUUUAAACCUUAGGACACACAGUCCCGGACACCCAGUCCUGAACACGCAGCUCAGGACACCAAGUCCUCACCGUAUUCUCCUUGAGCUAAGGUCACAUAGUCCUUGCCCAAUCACUCUGGUAAGUCUUCAAGGUAGACUCCCAAACCUUCACAAACUUCGUUCACUGGCAAUCCACAAUGUCUCUUGGAUGCUAUGAACGCGACGCCUAACCGUCUGGAGGAUUCACAGUCCUCAAGUGUAAUAAGUCUUCAUAUCACACAGACAAGAAGACUUAUGUGACGCCCAAUGUUCUCUGGCUCUGGGUGGUUAGGGCUUUUCUCCUCGCUAGGAAUUUUCUCUCAAAGGCUUCGAGGUGGGUUGCUCUAAAACGACAAAAGCCGUGCACUGAAAUCUAAGCAGCCAACCGUUUAUGGUUGUAGGGGGUGGGCUAUUUAUAGCCACUUGGCAACCCGACCUGAUUUGUCCGAAAUGACCCUGGGUCACUAAGGAACUGACACGUGUCUCAACGGUCAGAUUUCAAACUCUCAUGGCAACUUUACUUGGGCUACAAGCAAAGCUGACUUGUCCGGCUCUGGACAAGAUUCGCUCUCAUUGUCUACACUCGAAGACAUAGGUUUUUUGGUUUAGGCAUCACUUCAGUCAUUCUGACUGGUUCUCCUAGACCCCACUUAACAGUAUGGUGAUUCCUAUGACUCAACACAAAAGAAAAAGAACUACGAAAGAUCUACGUCUUCGAGCUCCAUAGGCUUCAUAACGUGUCUUCUUUUGUCAUAGUCUUCAAAGUGAAUAUCUUCAUAUACCACCUUUGGCUUCAAUGUCUUCAUACAUUUUUAGGGGUCAUCUCUGGAAGUAAAACCGAAUCAAUGAGGGACUUCUACCUGUUUUAUCCUGCAAUUCUCACAAACACAUUAGUCCCUCAACUAGGUUUGUCGUCAAUACUCCAAAACCAACUAGGGGUGGCACUAGAUGCACUUACAGCAAUAUCUUCAACUGUUGAUGUGGUAACUAACCCCUUUGCUGAGGAUACCAUUGCUAUUGCUGAUGAGAAUGCUAGGUUGAAGACAUUGCUUGAAACAGGGAUGUACAAAAGUCUUAAAGGACAUCAGACAUUAUGUGAUGUCCUCAAGAAGCAGAUUCUGAACCGAAACCCUAGGAAAGAGGGUGUUGGGUUCGUAAGAAAAAUAAAUGCAGAUGGCUCUUACUGGAGACCUGAGCAGUACCCCAAAACCACAUGGGUUGCUGCAAAGGAACUUUCAGCAGAUCCAUCCAAUUUAUCUGGCUUCACUUGUGCUAACCCCAUUAUCAUUGAUGAAUCCUUUGACGUAAACUAUAAACUGUUUAAGAAUCAGAAUGGUGAAGUGUUUGCCAGGUACAUUGGUACUAAUUGCAGGAAUGGACCGCCUAUGAAGAAGAUCUGGGCUCCGAAAAAGUGUCUGGAAAAUCUUCCUAUGAAUGUCUUCGUGACACCUCACUCGAAGAAGACAAACCUCAGACCAAAGGCUUCAUACGGUCCAAAGGCUUCAUUCAAACAGAGGACUCACCUGAGUCACACUAACGCAAAUGUUUUGCAGGGAAACCAUACUCAGGCAUAUGAAUAUGAGAGCGGUUCAUCGAACCGUCAUGUUCAUAUGACCAAAAAUUAUUCUGCUUAUUCCUAUGAGUAUUAUUGUCCACCUGCAAGACUGUUUGCUAAGGCUUCAAAGCCAAAAUUCUCAGAUGCUGCACUUAGACUUAUUGCUUCUAAGCCACCCUUGAAGAUGUGGGUGGUUAAGAAAGCUUAACUCUCUUUUGCAGGGAAAGGUCUCCAGCAGAAAAACAAAAUCUUCUGACGCUAUUGCUGGGGACCUUAAAAAUCUUGUAGGGUGCAAGAUAAAAUGCCCAAAUGGCAUCAUUAUGUACUUCGUUCCUGAAUCGCAUGCUACUCUCCCUAUUAGUCCUAAUCUGGAUCUAAGUUUUCAUAACCCACUGGUUCGUCAAAUGUUUUUGCUUCACAAUUCUCUUCGUGAAGCCUAUCCCCCUAACUACACUGUUGGGUACGACACCAGCGUCUUCAAAGUCUUCAGAAUGGAUUAUUGACAGUGGGUGUACAAAUCACAUGACUGGCAAAACAAGCCUUCUUAUGGACUCAACCUUACGUCCAUCCGACAAGAGCCACAUCACAUUUGCUGACACUGGUAAAAGUAAGGUAUUGGGUCUAGGUAGAGUUGCAAUCUCAAAGGAUCAACACAUGGAUAAAGUCAUGCUUGUUGAAUCCCUUGGCUUCAACUUAAUGUCUGUCUCAAUGCUUUGCGAUUUGAACAUGAUCGUAAUGUUUGGAAAAUAUCGUUGCCUAGUACUAAUGGAAUCUGACAAGUCUCUAGUGUUUGAAGGGUAUCGAAAAGAUGAUCUGUACGUGGUAGAUUUCUCAGCAGGGCCACAACUUGCAGUAUGUCUUCUUGCAAAAGCUUCAGAAUGCUGGCUUUUGGCAUUGGAGGCUUGGGCAUGCUGGCAUGAGGAACCUCCACACCCUUGCGAAGAAGAAACAUGUCAUAGGCAUCGAGGGCGUCAAGUUCAAGAAAGAUCACUUAUGCGGUGCCUGUGAAGCAGGGAAGAUGACAAGGGCAAAACAUCCUUCGAAGACAAUCAUGACUACUACUCAACCCUUCGAACUGCUCCACAUGGAUCUUUUCGGCCCCACCCACUACUCAACUUUUACUACUACUGCCUGCCUCUAUGGCUUCGUCAUUGUUGAUGAUUACUCUAGAUAUACUUGGGUGCACAUAAUCCUUUACAAUACUGAAGUGCAGGAUGUCUUCAGACGCUUCGCCAAUCGUGCUAUGAACAAUUUUGGCGCCAAGAUAAAACACAUCAGAAGUGACAAUGGCACUGAAUUCAAGAACACUGGCCUUGAUACAUAUCUUGAUACCUUGGGCAUCACACAUGAAUUCUCAGCUCCGUACACGCCACAGCAGAAUGGCGUCGUCGAACGCAAAAACAGAACACUCAUUGAGAUGGCCAGAACAAUGCUAGAUGAAUACAAGACUCCAAGAAAAUUCUGGACUGAAGCCAUUGACACUGCAUGCCAUACAAUCAAUCGUGUUUAUCUUCACAAGCUUCUGAACAAGACAUCUUAUGAACUCCUAACUGGCAAGAAGCCAAAUGUCAGUUACUUCAGAGUAUUUGGCGCAAGGUGCUGGAUCAAGGACCCACACCACACCUCAAAGUUUGCACCAAAAGCACAUGAGGGCUUUAUGCUUGGAUAUGGAAAGGAUUCGCACUCCUACAGAGUCUUCAAUCUCUUUCAUUACAAAGUGGUUGAAAUAGUGGAUGUGCGGUUCGAUGAGACAAAUGGUUCACAAAAAGAGCAACUGCCAAAUGUGCUAGAUGAGAUUCCAGCUAGUGAAUCAAUCAAGCUAAUGGGAACUGGAGAGAUUAUACCUUCUGAAGCUCAUCCUGAAGAAGAACUUAUCAUCUCAGCACCUGAUCAACAUGAAGACAAUGCUCAGCCUGAAGACAUUCCUCCCAACAACAACACAGAUCAGCAAGAGCAAAAUCUUCGCCCUGUACAUCCUCGUGUUGCCAAUGAAGUGCAGAUUGACAGAAUAAUUGACAGCAUCAAUGCACCUGGUCCACUCACUCGUUUAAGGCCAACUCAGCUAGCAAAUUUCUGUGGGCACUUCGCAUUCGUCUCAAUAUCGGAACCCAAGAAAGUUGAAGAAGCCUUCAUGGAACCUGAAUGGAUUCAAGCUACGCAAGAAGAGCUUCAACAGUUUGAGCUGAAUAAUGUAUGGGAACUGGUUAAGCGUCCUGAUCCACGGAAGCACAACAUAAUAGGCACCAAAGGGAUAUACCGCAACAAACAAGAUGAGCAUGGUCAAGUUGUCAGAAACAAAGCUCGUCUCGUUGCUCAAGGAUAUACUCAAGUGGAAGGCAUUGACUUCGAUGAAACAUUUGCUCCCGUGGCUAGGCUUGAAGCCAUACGCAUUCUGCUGGCUUAUGCAAAUCAUCAUAACAUACUUCUAUAUCAAAUGGAUGUGAAAAGUGCCUUUCUCAAUGGCAAGAUUGAAGAAGAAGUGUAUGUUGCACAACCGCCUGGCUUUGAAAAUCCAAAACAUCCUGACAUGGUAUACAAGCUCAACAAGGCACUGUAUGGCCUCAAACAAGCCCCUAGGGCAUGGUAUGACACACUCAAAUACUUCCUGAAGAGCAAAGGCUUCAUACCUGGUUCCCUGGAUCCCACUCUUUUCACGAAGACAUAUGACGGUGAACUGUUUGUGUGCCAAAUAUAUGUGGAUGACAUUAUCUUCGGUAGCACCAAUCAGAAGUACAGUGAAGAGUUUGGAUAUAUGAUGCAAGAGCAAUAUCAGAUGUCCAUGAUGGGGGAGCUGAAGUUCUUCCUUUUACUUCAAAUACGACAACAACGCAAUGGCAUCUUCAUAUCUCAAGAGAAGUAUCUCAAAGAUUGCCUGAAGAAGUUCGGUAUGCAAGACUGCAAAGGCUUCACAACACGAAUGCCAGCCAAACAUCAUCUAGGUCCUGACGACAAUGGUAAAGAGUUCGAUCAAAAGGUAUACCGCUCCAUGAUUGGUUCUUUGCUUUAUUUAUGUGCAGCUAGGCCAGAUAUUAUGCUUAGUGUUUGCAUGUGUGCUCGAUUUCAAGCGGCACCAAAGGAGUCGCAUCACUUAGCUGUGAAGCGAAUUCUUCGAUAUUUGGCUCACACCCCAACUCUAGGAUUAUGGUAUCCAAAGGGCUCAGAGUUUGAUUUGGUUGGAUUUUCGGAUGCUGAUUAUGCUGGUGACAAAGUUGAUCGCAAGUCUACAUCAGGCACAUGUCACUUUCUGGGACGAUCACUUGUAUGUUGGUCUUCAAAGAAGCAGAACUGUGUAUCUCUCUCCACUGCUGAAUCCGAAUACAUUGCUGCUGGAUCUUGAUGCGCUCAGCUUCUGUGGAUGAAGCAAACAGUCAAAGGACUAUGGUAUUCAUCUGAAGCAAGUCCCACUUUACUGCGAUAACGAAAGCGCCAUCAAGAUUGCGAACAACCCAGUUCAGCACUCGAAGACAAAGCACAUUGAAAUUCAUCAUCACUUUCUCAGAGAUCAUGUUGUGAAGGAAGACAUUGAUAUCAUACAUGUCAACACUGAAGAACAAUUGGCAGAUAUCUUCACCAAGCCCUUGGAUGAGAAGAGGUUUUGCAAGUUACGGUGUGAGCUAAAUAUCCUGGAAUCCUCAAAUGUCCUGUGACCAGGCACACAUCCUAACCCUUAUGCAUAUUGAUGACUUAGAUGUGCAACACACGAAGUGAAGUAUAUCUUCAAAUCAAUGAAGAUAUACAUUCUAAGUGUGAAUACAUUAAUGUGGAAUUUGACUUCGGAGCGCCACGAUAAUGGUGCGUCGUGUCUGGGUCUAAUACUUCCUAUACGGUGGGUAACACCACCACCAAACGUUCUAUUUUAAAGUGUUUCACUCAUGGCGUUACCUUGCAAUGUCUUCACAGUUGAUUUGGCUUCGAAACUCAACACAUUUUCAUGAUUAUCUUCACUAUGUUGACUACAGAUAUAUAUAUAUAUAUAUAUGCUAGUGUUCUGUCCUCUACAGCAUUCACUUAUAGCUAUGUCUUCUCAGUUGAAUCUUUUGAACUAAGUGAAUGUGAUCGGACCCUAAUCUCUCUAUGCUUUCUAUCUCAAACUCUAUCUCUCCAAGUCAUAUGCAUUCUAUUGAAACUGUCGAAUGUCUUCACUGCGUCCUUGUCAGCUGAAGAUAUAGAGACAACCAUAAAGUCCGCUUUAAAUGCCCAUUCCUCCACAUAAAAUCCGGAGAAGCAGGAACGACCGCCCGACAAUCCAGGCGUGCGUGGGACGUGGAACAGACCCAAAACUUCCGCAAACUGGCCACGCGUUCCUCAGAUGUGAAUCGCCAGGGGCACCUGUGUAAUAGCACAGUGCCGCCCCUGAGCCUAUAAAUUCACACUUACCGCGGUCAUUAUCUCCUUCUUCCACCCUUGCAAGAACCCUAGCGCCACCGCUAGCACUCGAUGACGCCGACGACGAAGCGCUUCGCUGCCGCAACCUCUCCGACGCCGUCCUCACGCCGACCGCGGACAUCGUUCUCUCCGCCGAAGCCAUAGGUGUCUUUCGUCGCCAAGUUAGGGCACGGAGGACUGAACUGCUCGGCAUCAUCUCUCACUUCCGUCUAGCAGUUCCAAGUGUGGUAAAUAAAACUUCUUUUUUACAGCCCCUUUGAUCUCAUGGUUCUGUCACUUUCUACCAUAAGAAGUUUAUCUUCACACGAGUUAGAUCUUUCAAUCUGCAUCUCAUAACAUGCCUAGUAUAUUCACUUGUGCUUCAUGAAGUAGUUAGAUUCCUCACUUGUACUGAUAUGUGGGUUCGUACAAAUCUGGAACCAACUUCUUAUCUAUGAGUGAAUGUCUUUGCACGAUGAGGUCAAUGUCUUCUAAACUGAUUAAUCUUCAAAACCUUCUGAGAAUGCAUAUGACCUCUUCCCCUUCCCUCGCACCUUAAUGCUGUCACAGGUACAUGUCCGUGGGAGAAUCCUUCGGUUCUCAUAGUCUGCACUCAUUUGCAGAAUUCCUACAGUAACACAUAAACUCUCCUGAAGCCAGUUCCUGUUGGUCCAGCAAAAGAAAGCCUUCGAAGCCUUUGAAAGUUUUGAAGCCUUUCAAGUUAAAGUAUAUGGCUUCAGAAGCAGCAGCAAGGAAGGGGGACAGACAGAGACGUGAAGGAACUUCCAAAGAUCUGCCUGAAGACCUGGCAGAAAUGUAUAAAACAGAUCCUGAAGAGAAUUAUGGGCAGCGCAAGACUCGAAUCCAAUGGAUUCGACGCUAUUGGGCUGAACAAUGGUUCAAAUACCGCUUCGUCACCCAUGAGUAUGCUGAGAAAAGCGCCAUCAAAAGACCAUGGGGAGACAUCUUAUACAAGAACCUUGUUCCCAGGACUAGAGAUGAAGCCAUUGCUCAAGGCUUCUACCCAUGCAUGGUCCGAGGACCACAGCCUGAUGAUGCACAUCCGUCGUCACUACUCUGGUGUCGUGACGACAAUCUGUUCAAGCGCAACUUCCAGUUUGCCCAACAAUCAGCGAAGCAGAACAAGAAGAAAUUUGGGUUAGACUUCAACCCUGGUCCCUCCGCACCAAGGGUAGAUGGCACACGCGACGCAGAACCCAAUAUCAUCGGUCCAUUUGCCAACCUUGAAGGCCUCAUCACCCACAUCUUAGUCCAAGGGACUGCCGUGAAUGACCCUCCAGCUGACUCUGAGUCUGAUGAAGCUCCUGCUAUACCGAAGCCAAAGCAAUCAAAGAAGCCGAAAGCUUCAAAGCCGGUCCCUUCCUCAAAAAUCUCAAGGGCGAAGCCAUUGGCAACUGCACCUCCUGAAGACAGUGUGCAGUCUGAAGACGUAUCCCGCGUCUCCAAGCCCCAGAAGGCCAAAGUGCCUCAGCCACACACCGGCAAAGAGCUCACAGCUGCUGCCAUUCUGCGCAGCGAAGCCAUUGAUCUGUCAAGUGAUGAAGAUCUUGGAGAUGACGCUCUAGAGCAGCUCAUCAAGAGCAAAGAAGAAGCUGAGAUCUUCAACAAUUUGCCUCUCUUUGAUGUCGCCAUCAUCCACAACUUCAUCGACGAAUGGUUUUCCACACCGAACAUAAGCUUCGAAGAUCUGCAGCUGCCUGUUGGCCUCAGCGUCGCCUUCCAAGGAGCAAUUGCUUCAGAACUUGCCAUUGCUUAGCGCACUGUUGAACUGAAGUAGAAAAUUAAUCAUGAAAAGGCUCAGUUCAAGAAGAAUAUGGCCAAGCUCAACAUGCAAGAAGUGAAGAGCUUCAAGACCAUGUUGCAUGAGCUAAAGGAAAAUUUCCUGAAGAAGCGUGCAGAAGCUCAAGGUUCACGUGAGCGGAUGAAGUCUCUGGCAGAACGAUGUGUGCAAGCCUACAAUGAGGCCGAGAAGUGCAAGGCACUUAGGCGUCCUGGCAUUGACCCCAAGAUGGCCGCGAAGAAGAAGAAGAAGCCUGCUAUGGAUGAACCAGAGGCACCUAGGCAAGAAGCAGUUCCAAUUGUCUUCCCAACUGCAACGACUGGCUCGAAGCCAAAGAGCCGGUCAACAGCUUCAGAGCUCAAGAAGACAAGAACUGCUGAGGCUGAAGUGAGGAAGAGGAAAAGCUCUGAAGCCUCUCCUACUGCCCCCAGCAAGAAGAAGCGAAAGAUCAAGAAAUCUCCGGCUGCUCCCAUAGAGCCCUUGAUAGUUGAACCUAUCUCUAUGGUUCACCCCAACGCAGAACGACAACUGACAGUUCAUGAGCCUGCUUCCACAGAGGCUCCUGAAGCUGAAGACAUACCAGCAGCCGACCCCAUUGCUGCUAAAGACAUUGGUCAUCAGGACAAUGUACAAGAUGAUGCAGCCUUUCCUCAGUAUGAACAAAGCGAACUCAUCAACAUUGGUCGUCCUUUGAUGCCAAUUGCACAAGAUGCGUCAUGGGCGGAUCGCCCUCAAGAGGAAGAAGACAAUGAGGCCCAGCCCACUCCAACACCACAGGCGUCGUCUGCAUUCCGCAGGCUUCGCAAAGGUCCAAGGCCUCAAGUCUAUGCUGAAGACAUUCCGGCUACAUCAGCCGAAGAAGAAGCACCACAAGAGCCCACUCCAAUGCUCCACCAAGAAGCAGUUCUCCAGGAGAACAUGCUUGUGACUGACCCUCCAGCUAGUCAAGCGGAGGCUGAAAAUGUUGAGGCUGCCACAACCAACACUGAAGCCAAUGUGGAGCCCUCCCCACCAAAAGCUUCAGCAGACAGCGAAGCUACUGAUCCAGACACUUCUGUUCCUGAGUAUGCUGCAGGUCCUCAAUUUGAUUACCAUGUUGAACACAGGCCUCAUGUCCAGAAGCCAGUCCCAAGGCUGCCAAGGUUCCUAGGUCCUGCAUCAGCACCUGGCUCCUUUGACAUCAAUAGCUUCAAGGCAGACAAUACGUUCUUCAACAGCUCCAAGAACCCCUAUUCAAGGGAAAGGAUUUCAUCAGAUAGGUUCUGGAGCUAUCCUCAGCGCAGCUACUAUUCAUGCAUCCUAUACAACCAAGGUCGCAUCUUCCCGCACAAGCGCCUUGAUGUUGAAGCUAUUGCUGGUCUGCCCUGUUUAGAGGAAGCGCUGGAUUGCUUCAAGCAAGUGGGUCUGCUGCAGUUUAUAACUGAUGAAGAGCACUGGAAUGAAGAGCUUCUGUUGCAACUCUAUGCCACCCUACACAUCAAGGGAUACAACAGAGAUCCGAAGACUUGGGCCCUGGAGUGGAUGACCGGCAAUGUCCAUCACGAAGCCAAUGCAUUCGAUAUCAUUGAGCUCACUGGCCUGCCCACUCCUGGCGAACUCUUCGAGGAAGGUUGUCAACUACACACUGAAGCUCUUGAGAGCAUAUUCCAGAGGCCUGAACCAAAUAUGAGUCAUAUGCUCUCCAUGAUGAAGCCACUGCCUCUCGAUGCUCCUUAUCCAACAGAGUUCUUCAUUGAAGACUUUGAGUACCUGCCCAGAACAAUCUAUCACAUUAUCCGGCGGACUCUCUGGCCUAUUAAAGGGCACUCUCCAAAUGCCAAGAUCGAGGGUGCAAUGAAGACUCUGAUAUUCUAUAUCCUUUAUGGCAAAUGCUUCAAUGCACAUGAUUUCUUUAUACGCCAACUCGCUGCAUUAGGCUCAGAUCUGUUUGGUUUAAAAUCCUAUGCUCCUUGGGUAAUGAGACUGAUCAAGCUUCACUCUGCGAUCUCAUAUCAGCCCUCAGCCCACAACCAUCGGAUCUUCUUGCCAGAUGUGGAUACCUCUGUUAAAGCUAUAUAUCCUGAGCCUGCCAAGCAACCUUUGAGUCUUCAGAAUGCAGAACACCAGAGCUUCACUCAGAACGAUGAAGGUGUUGAAGCCAUAUCCAGGGUGUAUCCUUUGGCUGGCACUACACGUGCGCCACACCCUGCUUCAACUGAAGCCACUGAUAGUGCAACUGCUUCAAGACCCAAGAAGCGCGCUCGUGUUCUCAAUAACCGAGAGCUUCUUGUGGCCCUUCAUCAAAAACAAGAUAGGCAUCACGACUGGCUAAAGCGUCAGAUGAAAAGCCUCUUGGUGGAUGUGAAAUCUUGCCACCAAGAAUGCCUUCGUCACUCAUGAAACCUGUCGUCGUACAUGGAAAGGGCUAUCAAUGAUGUGUACUGAAGCUGAACUUGAAGAGGAUGGCUUCACUGAGCGAUUCAAGUUUGACACCACACCUCCUAGAAGGGCUGUGAUGCGCAACGCACCAUCACUUGAAGACUCUGAGUUUUCUUCAUCUGCUGCCACAGUCACUGCCAGAAUCAUUGAUGAAGAAGACGAUGCUACAUCACCGCCACCUGCUUCAGCACCUCCAAGCUCCUCUGCACCGCCAAACACCUCCAACGACCCUGCUGCUCCUGGGAACGAGUAUACACUCUAUGUCUUCAAACCUUUUUGGUCCUUGCUGACAAAAGGGGGAGAAGCAUAUGGGUUGAUAGUCUUGAAACGGGUCCGUAUGGGUGGGUGCUUUAUGUUUUGCUAUAUUUUGCUUCGUGCUUACAACUCUCGUUUUUGCUACAUUUAGUUCUUUGAGUUUCUUUGAGUUGUAACACUAAAACUCGAUGGUCGUCUGCUACUUGUUUGCCACCCUGUUUGCGAAGAUAAAUUCCGCAUGUGCGAAGAUAAAUUCUGCACUUAUCUCAUUCUGCAGACGUCCAUUUCCCAUUAUGCAUGUCAUUAUCUUCAUAUACCUUCACAUGCAUAGUGGAUUGUCAUCAUAAGCUGAAGUGGAUCUCCUCAAGUACAACCUGCCAUGUGCAUUUGCAUUCCAAAAGAAAAUUAACUUAUAUGCACAUCUUCAGGGGGAGCCCUUGCAACUUAUGAAGACAAUUCCUUAUCCCUUACAAUUUCACAGACUAUAUUCCUCAUUGAAAACUUCAACUAGUUUGUCAUCAAUCACCAAAAAGGGGGAGAUUGUAAGUGCAUCUAGUGCCACCCCUAGUUGGUUUUGGAGUAUUGACGACAAACCUAGUUGAGGGACUAAUGUGUUUGUGAGAAUUGCAGGAUAAAACAGGUAGAAGUCCCUCAUUGAUUCGGUUUUACUUCUAGAGAUGACCCCUAAAAAUGUAUGAAGACAUUGAAGCCAAAGGUGGUAUAUGAAGAUAUUCACUUUGAAGACUAUGACAAAAGAAGACACGUUAUGAAGCCUAUGGAGCUCGAAGACUUAGAUCUUUCGUAGUUCUUUUUCUUUUGUGUUGAGUCAUAGGAACCACCGUACUGUUAAGUGGGGUACAGGAGAACCAGUCAGAAUGACUGAAGUGACGCCUAAACCAAAAAACCAAUGUCUUCGAGUGAAGACAAUGAGAGCGAAUCUUGUCCAGAGCCGGACAAGUCAGCUUUGCUUGUAGCCCAAGUAAAGUUGCCAUGAGAGUUUGAAAUCUGACCGUUGAGACACGUGUCAGUUCCUUAGUGACCCCAGGGUCAUUUCGGACAAAUCAGGUCGGGUUGCCAAGUGGCUAUAAAUAGCCCACCCCCUACAACCAUAAACGGUUGGCUGCUCAGAUUUCAGUGCACGGCUUUUGUCGUUUGAGAGCAACCCACCUCGAAGCCUUUGAGAGAAAAUUCCUAGCGAGGAGAAAAGCCCUAACCACCCAGAGCCAGAGAACAUUGGGCAUCACUUAAGUCUUCUUGUCUGUGUGAUCUGAAGACUUAUUACACUUGAGGACUGUGAAUCCUCCAGACGGUUAGGCGUCGCGUUCAUAGCAUCCAAGAGACAUUGUGGAUUGCCAGUGAACGAAGUUUGUGAAGGUUUGGGAGUCUACCUUGAAGACUUACCAGAGUGAUUGGGCGAGGACUAUGUGACCUUAGCUCAAGGAGGAUACGGUGAGGACUUGGUGUCCUGAGCUGCGUGUUCAGGACUGGGUGUCCGGGACUGUGUGUCCUAAGGUUUAAAUACCUAGCCGCUCCAACCAGACGUACAGUUGUCACAGCAACUGGAACUGGUCCAACACAUCACUGUCUUCAACGAGUCACUGGUUUCAUCUUCACUUCCUUUUUCUUACUGUUACUCAUUGUGAAGCCAUUGCAUGCUUGCUCUAUCUUUUGUCUUCACAAUGUGAAUGUAUGAUCUAUUUGGCUUCAUAAUUUCUUCCUACCUGAUCCUUAUUACACUGCAGCUGUUUGUCAUUGUGCUUUCACUCUAUUGAAUACUUGACCAUGGCUGGCCUAGUGUAAUCUAACUUCCGCUGCAUAGUAAUAGGCAUAAUCUUUGCUGUUUGUCUUCAUAACUCCCACAUUUUGAAGACUUUCAUAAAAAUCGCCUAUUCACCCCCCUCUAGUCGAUAUAACGCACUUUCAUGUAUCGACUACACGAGCCUGAACAAGGCCUGCCCCAAGGAUUCGUUUGCCUUGACCUGGAUCGAUCAAGUGACCGACUCCACGGCCGGCUGCGACCUGCUGUCCUUCUUGGACGCCUACUCCGGCUACCGCCAGAUCAAGCUGGACCCGGCCGAUCAACUGAAGACCGCCUUCAUCACCUCUUUCGGCGUGUUCUGCUACAUCACCAUGACGUUUGGCUUGAGGAAUGCCGGCACAACCUUUCAACGUUGCAUGCAGAAGUGCCUCCUAAAACAACUCGGCAGGAAUGCCCAUGUCUACGUGGAUGACAUAGUGGUGAAAACGAAGAAGCGCGACACCCUUUUGGAGGAUCUCAAGGAGACCUUCGCCAACCUGCGCCAUUUCCAAAUCAAGCUCAACCCGAAGAAAUGUGUUUUCGGAGUGCCAGCCGACCAGCUCCUUGGCUUCCUUGUUUUUGAAUGCGGGAUAGAGUGCAACCCCAUGAAGAUCAAGGCCAUCGAGCGGAUGAAGAAACCGACUAAGCUGCGGGACAUCCAGAAGUUCACUGGGUGCCUAGCAUAUCUCAGCUGUUUCGUCAGCCAAUGGGCAAGAAGACCCUCCCUCUGUACCAGCUGAUGAAGAAGACCAUGUGCUUCGAGUGGACUGACCAGGCGGACGAGGCGUUCCUCCAGCUCAAUCGAAUGCUGUCCACACCGCCUGUUCUGGCCGCUCCAGCUGCCAAGGAACCAAUGCUCCUCUACAUCACUGCUACCAACCGGGUCGUCAGCACGGUGAUUGUAUUUGAACGCCCAGAAGCUGGCAAGGCGCAGCUGGUCCAGAGGCCGGUCUAUUACUUGAGAGAUGUGUUGUUGUAAGUGCAUCUACUGCCACCCCUAGUUGGUUUUGGAGUAUUGACGACAAACGUGGUUGAGGGACUAAUGUGUUUGUGAGAAUUGCAGGAUAACACAUGUAGUAGUCCCUCAUUGAUUCGGUUUACCUACCAGAGAUGACCCCUAAAAAUGUAUGAAGACAUUGAAGAAAAUGGUGGUUCAUGAAGAUAUUCACAUUGAAGAUAAUGACCUGUGAAGACAUUCACUUGAAGACUAUGGAGUGCGAAGACAUAGUUUCUUUUGUAGUUUCCUUUUCUUGUUUAUGGAGUCAUAGGAACCACCGUACUAUUAAGUGGGGUCCAAGUGAACAAAUCAGAUGACUGAAGUGAUGCUCAACCAAAUUCCAAUGUCUUCGAGCAAAGACAAUGAGAGCAAAUCUUAUCCAGAGUUGGAUGAGUCAGCUUUGCUUGUAGCCCAAGCCAAGCUGUCGCGUGUGUUUGAAAUCCCACUAUUGGACACGUGUCGCUUCCUUAGUGAACCAGGGUCAUUUCAGACAUAUCAUGUCGGGUUGCCUCCAGGAUAUAAAUAGCCUACCCCCUACACCAUAAAUUGGUGGCUGCUUAGAGUUAGUGCAUGACUUUUGUCGUUUGAGAACAACCCACCUCCGAAUCCUUUGAGAGAGAGAGAGAUCCUCGCGAGGACAAAGCCCAAAACACCUAGAGCCAAAGAGUGUUAGGCAUCACUAAAGUCUUUCUGUCCGCAUGACUUGAAGACUUGUUACACUUGAGGACUGUGAGUCCUCCAGCCGGUUAGGCGUCAUGUUCUAAGCAUCUAAGAGUCAUUGUGGAUCGCCGGUGAACGAAGUCUGUGAAGGUUUGGAGGUCUACCUUGAAGACCUACCAGAGUGAUUGGGCGAGGACUAGGUGUCCUUAGCUCAAGGGGAAUAAGGUGAAGACACAUUCUUCUGAGUUCAAUCUCAGCCUCCCUAACCAGACGUACAGUUGUCAUAGCAACUGGAACUGGUCUACCAAAUCCUUGUCUAUGCCAAGUGAUACGUCUCCAUCAUAUCUAUAAUUUUUGAUUGUUCCAUGACAAUAUUAUACAACUUUCAUAUACUUUUGGUAACCUUUUAUACUAUUUUUGGGACUAAAAUAUUGAUCAAGUGCCCAGUGCCAGUUCCUAUUUGUUGCAUGUUUUUUGUUUCACAAAAAAUCCAUAUCAAACGGAGUCCAAACGGGAUAAAAACUGACGGAGAUUUUUUUUGGAAUAUAUGUGAAUUUUGGGAAGUGAAAUCAACGUGAGAUGAUGCUCGAGGGGCCCACGAGGCAGGGGGCGCGCCCCUGGCCCUCGUGGCCACCCCGUAAGGCGGUUGGUGCCCUUCUUUCGCCGCAAUAAAGCUAAUAUCCGGAUAAAAAUCGUGUCCAGAUUUCAGCCCAAUCGGAGUUACGGAUCUCCGGGAAUAUAAGAAACGGUGAAAGGGCAGAAUCUGGGAACGCAGAAACCGAGAGAGACAGAGAGACAGAUCCAAUCUCAGAGGGGCUCUCACCCCACCCAUGCCAUGGAGGCCAUGUACCAGAGGGGAAACCCUUCUCCCAUCUAGGGAGAAGGUCAAGGAAGAAGAAGAAGGGGGGCUCCCUCCCCCUCUCUUCCGAUGGCGCAAGAACGCCGCCGGGGCCAUCAUCAUCACCGCAAUCUACACCAACAACUUCACCACCAUCAUCACCAACUCUUCCCCCCUCUAUGCAGCAGCGUAACCCCUCUUUUACCCGCUGUAAUCUCUACUUAAACAUGGUGCUCAAUGCUAUAUAUUAUUUCCCAAUGAUGUAUGGCUAUCCUAUGAUGUUUGAGUAGAUCCGUUUUGUCCUAUGGGUUAGUUGAUGAUCGUGAUUGGUUUGAGUUGCAUGUUUUAUUAUUGGUGCUGUCCUAUGGGGCUCUCCGUGUCGCGCAAGCGUGAGGGAUCCCCAGUGUAGGUUUUGCAAUAUGUUCAUGAUUUGCUUAUGCUGGGUGGCGUGAGUGACAGAAGCACAAACCCGAGUAAGUAGGUUGUUUGCAUAUGGGAGUAAAGAGGACUUGAUGCCUUAUAAUGCUAUGGUUGGGUUUUACCUUAAUGAUCUUUAGUAGUUGAGGAUGCUUGCUUCCAAUCAUAAGUGCAUAUGAUCCAAGAAUAGAAGGUAUGUUAGCUUAUGCCUCUCCCUCAAAUAAAAUUGCAAUAAUGAUUACCGGUCUAGUUAUCAAUUGCCUAGGGAUAAAUAACUUUCUCGUGACAAAAAUCUUUCUACUAAAACUAACUUAGUUGUCUUCAUCUAAACAGCCCCUACUUUUUAUUUACGCGCUCUUUAUUAUCUUGCAAACCUAUCCAACAUUACCUACAAAGUACUUCUAGUUUCAUACUUGUUCUAGGUAAAGCGAACGUUAAGCGUGCGUAGAGUUGUAUUAGUGGUCGAUAGAACUUGGGGGAAUAUUUGUUCUACCUUUAGCUCCUCGUUGGGUUCGACACUCUUACUUAUUGAAAGAGGCUACAAUUGAUCCCCUAUACUUGUGGGUUAUCAAGACAUUUUUCUAGCGCCGUUGCCGGGAGUUAUAGCGUGGGGUGAAUAUUCUCGUGUGUGCUUGUUUGCUUUAUCACUAAGUAAUUUUUAUUUGCUGUUCUAAGUUGUUCUCUAUCUUUAGUUAUGGAUAUGAACACGAAAUACCAAAAAAAUAGGUUUACUUGCUACUCAUGGAGAUGGGGAACCUCCUAAAACCCUCGAUGCUCAUUAUGUGAAAGAUAUUAUGUACUACUUUGAUAAUCCUGAGAAAACCCCAUUCAACUUUAUAAUGGGAGUAACGUUGGAUCAACAUGAAUACUUUAGGGAUUAUCGCUUGACUCAAAAAUGGAAACUAUUAUGGGACCAAAUUUAUAUGUUGCAUUGAUAUGCUCGACAACUAUGCUUGAGAUAUGAUUAUACUUGUUGCUCUAGGAUGAAAGGCUCCACACCUUCCCUUUUCAUGUGAAUUUAAUGAUGAUGAAACCUUGGCUUCUUAUGCUAAUGGUAUAUAUGAUUAUUAUGAUGUGGAACACAUAGAAGAAUUCGUUGCUUUUAUGGGUGCUUAUGAAAUUGAAUCUUUGUUUGAAGAGUUUGAAGAUUUUGAUGAUUCAGUUUAUAGACCUGAAAAUUUAGCUAUCCUUAAAUAUUGCUAUGAGAAUUAUAAAUACAAUUAUGAUAUUGAUGAAUUUAUUGAGAAAGUCUCCGCUGUCCGAGAAACGACUAAUAUUUUGCAGGAGUCUAUGGAAGAAGAAAUUGAUGAAACUGUGAGCUCAUUGGAUGAAAAAGAUGAUGAGGAGAGCGAAGAACAAAAGGAGGAAGAGCAGAUUAGCUACCCGUGCCCACCUUCUAAUGAGAGUAACUCUUCAACUCAUACAUUGUUUAAUUUCCCUUCAUGCUUACCGAAGGAUGAUUGCUAUGAUGAUUGUUAUGAUCCCGUUGAUUCUUUUGAAAUAUCCCUUUUUGAUGAUGCUUGCUAUGCUUGUGGCCAAGAUGCCAAUGUGAAUUAUGCUUAUGGAGAUGAACUUGCUAUAGUUCCUUAUGUUAAACAUGAAAUUGUUGCUAUUGCACUCACGCAUGAUAGUCCUAUUAUCUUUUUGAAUUCUCCUGACUACACUAUAUCGGAGAAGUUUGCCCUUAUUAAGGAUUAUAUUGAUGGGUUGCAUUUUACCGUUGCACAUGAUAAUUUUGAUGAAUAUAAUAUUCAUGUGCUUGCUGCUCCUACUUGCAAUUAUUAUGAGAGAGGAACUACAUCUCCACCUCUCCAUGUUUCCAAUAUGAUAAAAUUGCAAGAAACUGUUUAUACUAUGCAUUGGCCUUUACUAUGUGUGCAUGAAUUGUUCUUUUAUGACAUGCCGAUGCAUAGGAAGAGAGUUAGACUUCGUCAUUACAUGAUAUAUGUUGCUUUGUGCUCACUACUAAAUCACAAAUCAUUGUUAAUUAAAAUUGGCUUUGAUAUAUCUUGGGAUCCAGGUGGAUCCAUUACUUGAGCACCUUAUGCCUAACUUAAUGGCUUUAAAGAAAGCGCUGCCAAGGAGACAACCCGGAAGUUUUAGAGAGUCAUUUAUUUCUGUUGAGUGCUUUUAUAUAGUUUAAAAACAAAAUAAAUAAAGAGGGGAACCCAAAACUUUUCAAAAAGGAAAGUGAAAGUGAGAGAGACAAGCAUUGUUGAAGUGGGGGAGCUCCUUGAACUUUGUUCAUGCUCACGGAAACUUUGUGAAUCUUGAUUACAGAAACUUCUCAAGAAAAAUAAUUACCUCCUUGUACAAUUCCAUUGUAUUAUAAAAAUAAUGUGCCAAGAUUUGCCUUUAGGAUGUUUACAUUGCUUGUUGGUUUGUGCGGUGCAGAACAAAAACUUUGGCUGUAGUGCGCGAUUUUACAUUUUUUACUGGAACGUCAAACGGUUCUGAAACUUUUUGCACUGCAUUAUAUACAAAUUGUUUAUUUUUCCUAAUUGUUUAAGAAUUUUUGGAGUACCAUAAGUAUGAUGAAUGUUCAGAUUACUACAGUCUGUCCCGUUUAAGACAGAUUCUGUUUUUGAUGCAUAGUUUGCUUAUUUUGAUGAAACUAUCAAUUUC